CAUAGAAACCUGCAGCUCUGCUUCUGAAUAUCAUCACCAACAAUCAGCUUCAAACCAAAAACUGUAGCCAGCCUUGUACCAUCAGGCUAUAACCUUCUUUCAGCUGAAAACCCGUUGAUAAUAAACUGUUCUUGACUUGUUUUCUUAUUAGCACACUGAACUUCCAUGAAUCUGAUAAACUAGUGAGUUACUCGGCCCUUUAACUCUUUUAUCUUCAGCUAACCUUCUGAGACACCAUCCACAAACAUAGCUCCACCAUGAAAAAAAAAUAUCCAUAAGGAUAUGCAUUGCUCCUUUUGUAGCAACAAUACUCCACCUGAAACUAUAACCCUUGGAUGCACUUUGUCUCUAUAAGCUGAGCUUCACCAAUCUGAAUUAAAGCUACUCUUCACUAUAUCUUGGAUUCAUUUCCACGUUCUUAUGAAUCACCAUGAUUACUUGCUUGAGAAAGUGUGUCAAAACAUGAGACACAUCUUCUUUCUUCCUUCAGCCACCUCAAAUGAUCCAUUUGCAAUCAGAAAACCACUAAGAACUUGUCUUUAAUUUCUGCAGCCUUGUCCUCUCUUUACUUGGAACAUUCUUCAUGAUCUAAUUGUGAAACAACUUAGGUUGAUACACCAUCAAACCAUACCUCACUCCCAUAAAUAAAAUCUUGUACUUUCCUGUAGCCAAUUCCACUAUAUACUUGUCUUGCACCGCUGUUCAAACGAACAGGACACGCCGCCUAACACCCUUUGGCUAGGAAGACUUUCGACACAAGAAAAUAGUACAGCCAAUUGCAUACCAUCAGAUGCUUCUUUUAACACUUGAAGAUCUGAUCCAAAAAACACAAAACACAAGAUACACUCUGAGAAAAUAUUGCUCCACCCGAGAUAAGAACUCCUUGUUCCUUAAGCAAAAUUACCAUGUGUUAUGCCAAACACAAAUUUGCACAGAACAUGAAUCUUUUAUGCUGCCAUUACCUUGUCAAGAGAAUUCGUUCUCAUGACCAAACAAGCACAAACUGUCCAGCUUACACCAAACAACAUGCUUACAAACCACGCUGCAUUCCCUUUGAAAAUAGCAGCCUUGUAGCUUCACGUUCUCUGAUGAUCCACAACCCGUAGAUUCUCUCAUUCACAAGAACUGACAACUACACACAGAGAUAAACCUGCAACCGAAACCCCUUUCAAAACUCAGCCAAUACCAAUGAAGUUUCCAUAACAUUUUUCUGUCUUGAAUAAGCAGAAAACAUGACUUGCUUGAUAACCAUUCUGCAACCUCCUUUAAUUUGAACCAAGAGUACCUUUACUGAUACACACACAGCCAUAAAACGCCCAUAAGCUUCAAGAUUCUAAGGCAUCCCCUACUUCCAUGAAUCUUAUGAGUUACCGGGCUGGAAACACGAUAGUUAGAACACCACCUGAAACCGACUUUACCAAAACUGAUUCAGCCAGAAGAUAACAUGAAAACCAUCAUUGAAUCUUGGCUUAACUCUUGUAAAACCAGUACAUAACACUUGUGUUCCAACAAACUUCCAUUUCCAAUAAAUAUGCAGAACUUGAGCAACCUGAAACUUCAAUACAGAGCAUCACAAAAUCCCUUGUGACUGCAGCGGAAUCAGACAUAAGGUUUCCCAAAACUUGAGUCUUGAAAUUGAUGUUCAAUUUCGACAUCAACUCUUAACCGGUUUCUUCAACAAUGAUCAAGAAUCACCAUCUUCGAUCAAAUGCUUCUUGCUUCCAUCUCUGAAUUUCUCUGAAGGACUCCGAGCUUCAUAACUUCGAUUAAGCUCCAGCCUUCACAUCUCUUUCAUAUAUUGAAGCUCCUCUUUCUGAUAUUAACACAGACAAGAACUGAUGCACCCCCGACCAAAAAACUCUACGAAAUUUGGUGAGGCCUUUGCCUUUGUUGAAUUCCUUCGAGUUUCAAUUUCAACACUUCAACGAAAGAGAAAACGUCAAAGAGAAACGUGCCUUGUUCCUCUUUUGACUUUUGGGCAUUAAGAGAUCUUAGCCCACUUAGAAUAUUCACUAAUGAUAGACAAGGCCCAUCUUGGUCCAACUUGAAGAAAACAAUUUGUCGUACCUUGACCUUUCUUUUCCUCACCCGUCGACCAUCGUAAGAUGAUUUUGCCGGCCACCAUCCAGAUGUUAUCCGGUGACUUAUAUGGCCACCACAUCUCCGUGAUUCUCUCUCACCGUGCGUCUCUUCCUCGACAGCAAAACCCAAGGCUUCUUCUUCUCCGACUCGUUCUGCUCGUGACGGCGCCGUCUUCUCUUUCACGACGUCGUCGGAAACUCGAGCCACUCCGCCGGAAUCUCAGCCUUCUCCGGUGAGAAUCUCUCUGAAUUCCUUGUCGCCGAUCUCUGAACACCACAAGAGCUCAUGACAAGCUUCCUCCGCGAAACCCAGAUUUCAAAAGAAAUCUUGCAUCUUCUUCUGUCUUCUACUCUCAAUGCUUCUAGCAAGUCUAGUUCUUCUUAGAUGGACAAGACACUCCGUCUUCUAUGAGAUAUAAUCUCCAAACCAUCUUUCUUCUCUAGAGCUGCACUUCCCGAAGCCAUUGCUUGAUAAAGGUGUGACCUUUUUUCGACAAAACUUGCAUCUUCUUUGUAAAGCUUGAAUCUUUCUCACGGAACCUGAAGAUUCAGAGCAAAGCUUGAGUCUUUCAGCACUAACCUGUGCUCUGAUACCACUUGUAGAGGUUUUUAGCCUCUCAAAGGCUCAAGCUUUGUCUCAUUUGUCAUCAACACCAUAUUACGGAAACAAAUCAAGUAAAGUAUCGAGAAGAGGAGGAAGAUAAAACAGAGCAAGAUGAAGGAAGAAGAGGAGCACACAAAGGAUUUGUUAACCCGGUUCACGGCAUUAACGAGCCGCUACGUCCGGUUAGGAUCGAUAGAUCCACAACUUCACUAUGAAGAAGAAGGUAUUACAAACAAGAAGCAACAAGUGACCCGUCUAAUACCCUUCACUAGUACUUAGACUCACUCUGUACCACUUCCUGUAUAACUCAGAGAACAACAAUGACAAGCUUAUACUAAUACAUGUUUUCUCUCAUCUCUAUACCUUACUAACUCUUCUUCUUAGAUCUACAUUGUGCUAUUGCUCUCUCUCUCUACUCCCUUCUCCCUUAGCUUCUCUCAAUGAAGAUAAGCACCUAUAUAUAGAGACAGCUAACUAGGGCUUCCUUGUGCUAAAACAAACCGCAACCCUUUUGAGAACAAACUGACAAAACGGAGAGGCUCCCCUUUGUGGUCCCAAAAGUAUCCCAACCCAACUUUAACUUGACUAGAGUUAAGCCUUGAGUUGCUUUUGAUCUUCAUUUGCUUGAGAAACAAGUUCUCAUCUCCACAGGCCUUUUGUUAAAAGCCCAAAGAGCCGAAUCGAUAUUCACACACACGCUUGAACUGAAUCAUCCGGGCGCUUGCCUGUCUGAAAUGUGAAGCCGGAAGGUAGGUGGUGUACCUCUCUCUCUCUCUCUCUCUCUCUCUCUCUCUCUCUCUCUCUCUCUCUCUCUUUGUUUCUCUGUAAUUGAGCAUGUUAGGGUUAUGUUUCUAGAAUUCGGGUAAUUGCUCCUUGGAUUUAUGAAUCAAUUUGAUAAUCAGAGGAACUGAAUCAGGAUCAGAAGCAAUCCAUCUUUGUUUCUCAUACAUUUUGAUCAAAGAAAUUUUACUUGUAGUUGUAAUUAAAUAAUUCACACAGUUUUUAUUCUCCAGUGAACUCCUUGUGAAUGAUUAUAUUUAGUUUAAUAAUGAGUUUAGGUUCUUGAUCAUGCACACUGCACAGAGUUGGUAAGACUCUAUUGAGUCUUUUUUGUUCCUCUGUUUCGUAAUUUGAAGAUUUGGUUUCUGUUACUUCCUUCUUCUUGGCUAAUUUGUGUUCUUGCCCUUCUCUUGGAGAUUAUCACUAGGUUAUGUCUGUAUUUCCACUGCUGUGUCUUUUUGUUUUAUAACAUUCACUUUUUGAGCAAUAAUAAACAAUGGAUGAGAAACUACGAGGAGAUUCUGGCCAAAAUUUUCUGGUUUAUCUCUUUUUCUUCUCAGGUGUUUCGGUUGAAAUAAAGAGAAUCUGUGAGGAGAUUACUUUUAAAUAUUUCUGUAUUUGCUUAGAAUUCUAAUUUUUUACAGGUAUAUAUCUGAUUGCUGUCUUCCAGAAGUGGAAUCAAACCGGAGACGUCUUAGCUGUAAGAAUAUUAAGAAGUGAAACUCUGGUCUGAAUCAGUCGCCGGAAAAUACACUCCAACUCGAUCUCAAGCUCCUCAACAGUGAUCUCUGCAGCCUCCAACCUUGUAUUUGCGCUCUGCAUCGCUACUUUGUCCCACGCAUCAUCAAAGCAGCAAAACUGCAUUGUAAAGAUGGAAGAAAAUGACCCUAUGCUCGGUUUUCUCUCGAGCCAAGGAACACACACGAGCGAGAACAGAGACUCAACCAUAGUCACAAUAGCUCUUCUCACUUCUCUCAAAACCUCAGCAACAAACAGAAGGUUCUGCUCUAUGCUCUGCAUCUCCAUCAUCCCUCUUCCUCCGUCAAUACUCUUUAGACUAUUUAAACACUUGAGCGUUUCCUUCUUGAGCUUGUUCCUAUACUGAUUAUACGCUGCAAUCUUUUCACUAAGGUUUGAUCCAUUACAGCGCAGAGUCAGUUGAAGAUCUUGCAGGCCAUGUCUCACGAGUGCCAUGACAUCUUUCGACACAUUACAGACAUCUAACAUUAUUAGUGAAGCUUCAGAGACUUGCUCGAUCCAGUUCUCUUUCCCUUGUUGACUCUCUUGCUUCUGGACAGUGAUCGAGAAGAUAGUUUGCGCAGUCUUGUAGUUCUCUCAAACCUUCCAAGUCCAGUAGCGCCAUUCGACUGAAACCUCAAAAGGGUAUUGCUUGAUGAGAGAUUUGUGAUUAGGGUUUAGUGAGAUCUUGGGGUUACGCCCAUAAAUAGGGAUUGUUUCAAUUGGAGUUGAAGAUGGAUCUGAGGAGAAUGAGGAAAGUACGAAGAAGGAACCCCGAGGUUAGUUUUUUUUCUUUUCUUUGCGAGUUGUUUUUUUUUUUUUUUGUACAUACGUGAAGACAUUAGUGUUGGAAACAGGUCAUUUAGUUUACAAAUUCAAACUAGUUGAAGUUAGUGGUAUUUAGGAACCUUCCGUUUAUGUAAGUGGCAAUAGAUUAGGGCCACAUUAUGGAUUUGCUUCGAUAUUAUUGUCUACAUAACAAAACAAAAAUACAAUGUUAAUUUAAAUUAUAAUCGGAUACCUUUAUCACAAACCAUGCAUGAACCAAGCCAGCUAGUGUUUGUAUUAUCUGAACAAAACGGAAGAAUUAUUUAUUUAUAUCUGAAAUGUUCCAGAAUUUUGUUUUUGUAUUGUUGGUUUAAUAAUUUGUCGAAUUCAUCACCUGUUAAACACUAAACACAGAGUCAUAUCAUAUAUGUAUUGAAUAUUUAUGAUUGGAAUGUACUAUCUUAUUGUUAAAGGUCACUAAAGGGGUAUACAUAUAGAUUAUAGAUAUAUGUGGAAUGUCCAUAAUCAAAAUUUUCAAUUUAGUUAAAUUCAAAACUCUUUCAAGAACACAGAAAAUACAUGAUAGAUAGCAGAACUGAUGAGAACUAAAACAAACCCGUACAUUACGUGCACAUCAAGUCAAGUUCCUCAUAAGUCUGCUUUGAGUUUGUAGCUAAUUUCUCCAUAGAUUUGAAUAUCUGUUCCAUGUUAGACUUCAGAUUUAAACUCCCCAUUAAUUCAACAGAUGGUACUGUCUUCAUCUUCCUCUGCAUCUUCUGCUCUUCCUUCUCUAACAUCAUGAGCUUCCUCUCUAUAUCCUUUACGCUACCAUUAACAUUCCUCUGCUCUUCCAAUUCCAUCCUCUGUUUCUCAACCUGACGGUUUACAUGCAUCAAAAUCGUGUAAACCGCUUCGGUAAACUCCUUCUCUCCGUGUGAUCUCUCAAGGGUUUGUGACCAAGUGUUAAUAGCACCAAACAAUGGUGGCUCUUCUGAGAGAUCUGGUGUUGGUACUUGAGGUUCUUGCUUUAAAUAUCGCAUUAGCCAACUGUUCAAAGCUUUAACAUACUGAGCCUGAGCGUCUAUCCAGUUGGACAGGCUUAGGCUCCAGUUCCUCAACUCCAGUUUCAAUUCCAUAGCAAGCUCAAGCUGAGAUAAGUCUAGAUUCUCCUUUAUUGUCAUCUUAUCAAGCUUCUUAGCCUCUGCGAUCACUUUAGAUUGUCUCCUGUGACAUUCUAGCAUAGAGCUCCACAUCACAGACAACCUAAAUUGAGAUACAAUCAGCUUCGAUUUCUCAAACAAAAUCUUAAAAACUUAUGGUAAUGGUAGUUGCUUAAUACCUGUGGAUCAAUUCUUUCAUUUGGGACCAGAGCUCUUCAUCGCGUAACUUGUUUAUCGUCAGACAAAUGUUGUUUAUCUUAUGGAUAGAGACUCUCAUUCUUGUAGACAAACACUGAACCGAAGAACGAAUAACUUCAACUUUGCUUAGAUCUGCACUUUUUGCUUCCAAUCUCCUCAAUAGUUUGUAGUUCUUCAUGUGAGAAGUUCGGAGUUUCUCCUCAGCCUGUAAAUAACAAAUCAAAAGUCUUAAGGAACAUAAAACAAUUCGAUAAUUUUGCUACAAACCAUUCAGAGCAUUUUGAUUAUACCUUUACUUCUUGGUACAGUUUCUUCUCCCACAUAAAUAGUUUCUUCAGAGUAGAUGAAAGAUUAUUGAAAUCAGAUUCUUCCACUGGUUUGGGAUCAAAUGGAGUCAUCACCUUCUUCGUGUAGAGAAUGUUUGAAGAAGGAAGAAGAACUCGAACAUUACAUUGAUAAACAGAGCUUUUCUGGUAGUAUCUGAAUCUGGAAGUGUCGAACAUCUUCGAAACAUCAUUCCCUGAUUCUGAAGCUUUCUUGAACAUUUCUUGCAAUUGCUUUGUGACUUCAGAGAAAUCUGAUGAAACUUUAUGAUUCUUUGAUUCUUUAGGAGCACUCUUCCUAUUUUUCUUUGAGAUUCUCAGAGUUUUCUUCUCUUCUUUUAUUUUAAUAUUUUGGCUCACAGUAAUCUUCUUCUUCGUCAACUUAUCUUCUUCAUGAAAACGAGUGGUCUCUCUAUCUUUCAAAUCUUUGGCAUUCGUAAUGUACGGAAACUCAUAGUUCUCGAAGAAAUUGAUAAAAUCCCAAGCGUAAUUACUCGGAGCCGGCGGCGGUGGAGGCGGUGUUCUGGUGCCGGAUUCGUAUCUCCGGGAGUAAAACGAGUCAUGAUUAAGAUUUAGUGAUUCGAGUUUUGGACAGCUGAAAAGAUCGCAAUUCGUACCUUCAUCUUCUUCCUCACAAUCCGAAUCGAAUUUGGGAGGCGAAUCGGAAUCUGAACUGGUAACGGAGUGAGAUGGAGAAGAGGAUUCCGGCGAAUACGUCUCCGGGGAUUGGUCGGCUUCGGAUUCAACAUCUGGUGGAGACUCGACGGCUAGUUGGAAGAAUCUAUGAAGAGCAGGACCGACGGUGUUUAGAGAGAGGAGAUAAGCUGAGUGAGCGUCGGCUAAGGCGUAGCUUCGCCGGAGAGUGUCUUCUAGUGAGUUGCAGCGGUCACGGCAUAGAGAGACGGCCGGUAAACCGUCGAGCUUUGAGGGGGAGCAACCCAUAACGGUCGUGGGGGAAGUUGUGGUUUUCAAAAGCUUGGAUUUGUUGACAUAUAUAUAAAAAAAAGUCACGAGAAAUAAUUACGUGAUUAAGGUAAGGUGUAAUUAAUAUAGAAUGACUAAUUAUUGGCCAACUGGAGACAGAAUUACAUUAGUGAGCAAAUGAGUUACUACAUUUUAAGACAAAGGAUCCCAAAUGCUGUGGCGGGAUCCCCACUAAAUAACGUCUUUUUUUUUUUGGUGAGAAAAAUUAUCAUGGUUAUCAGUUAAAACUGAAAAAUAAUCACUUAAUUUCACAUGUCAACAACUCAGCAAAUUCCUUUUUCUUUUUUUUUUUAUCACUUAAUUUUGAUCACACUUAUUAUUGUUUGGUUAUAAACUUCUAAUUCUCAUAAUCCAGUAUGUAUCUCUUAUAAUCCAUAUAGUUCAAUAUAGAAUUUAGAUUUGCAUGCAUUGUUUCCAUUGAAUGAGCCUGGAUUACAUUUGUAAUUAGCAUCUUGCCAAAUUUAAACUAGUAAAAGCGCAUUACAUUUUCAAAAGGAAAAGCUCAUAUAGAGUGGUGACACUUCCACAUAAAUGAUUAUACGAAUAAUAGCCGUUUCUUUUCUUUUUUCUUGUGGUAGAAAGGACGUGCAACCAAACUUCAAUCUUGAAAUUACCCUAAUUAAUCAUAAUUAGUACAAUAAACGUUGCAACUAUUUUAAUUUUCUGUUCACCAUGAACAUAUUGCAUUGAUUGUUUUCUUGUUUUAUUGAAACGUUGCAUUGGUUUAUUGUCGUUCAAAUGACGUUUUUUUUUUUUUUUUGCAAUGGAGGAACUAUGCAAUUUUCAACUCUGAAAAUCAAUGAAGUAUAGAAAGUGGAAAAAGACGUGGUGUAAAAAAGUUAAAGCUAAAAAGUGAAAAGUUAAAAUAAAAAAGGUUUGAGAUUCAAAGUAACGUAAAGUAUUAUUAUAAUUUAUAACGAAAUCAUGCUCUAAAAGAGUAAAAGUACAUGCACAUGUUGUAGGUACGGAACUCAUAUUUUAAUCCUUUUUUCAGAACUCAAAACUCACGACUUUAGCUGCAAAUAUCAGUUUCUACUUUCUACAUACAAAUAUUACAAUUUUAACGAAGAUAUACACACAUAUCAUUUUUAAUCAGUAUUUGUUCUAGUUGUAGCAAUUUACUCACGACGAUGGAUAUUUUUUCCACAAAAAGUUGUUCGAAAGUUUGUUUCUUCUGACUUCUAUUAGAUGAAUGAUUGGAAUUAAUCGGUUCAAUGAUAAGUCUGGAGAAUAAAACCCUAAAAUUCAUGAUUUUUUUUUUUUUUGAUAACUACGUACCAUUAAAUUCUUGUCAAUUACACUAACUUUAUCUAUUUAUCUUAGAUAAAUAUAUAAAACUGAGCAUGACCGAGCGUCUGCACACGUCAUAACCUAGGUCUUCAACUUAAGUGUGAGAGUUGGAACUUUUUGAGUUUGGGGCUUUUGAGAAGAUAAGACGAAGAAAAAAGCGAAAACUUCACAAUCUAUACUAUAUAAAAUUCAGGGGCGGAGGGAGAGAAGAUUCAUAGGGGUCAAUUAACCCGGUGAAAUUUUUAAAAAUAGUUGAAUUUUUAUAUAAAAAAAAUUAUUGAUCCCAAUCCAAUAAAACUAUUGACCCCUAUAAGAAAAAUUUAUGUUACAAACCCAAUAAUUACACUGUAUUUAUAGAUAAUAUUAGCCUAAUAAAAUUUAUUUUAAGUAAAUCUACUACAAUUAAACCUACUAAUAUAAACUAAUAUAAUAUUUUAACAUUUAUUUUGACCUGAUCUAAAAACGUUUUACCUUCUUCUUCUUUCUUCUUUGUGUUUUUAAUCAAUCUUUGAUCGUGUGAUGGUGGAAACAAGAAAACAUCUUUCACAUCUUUUAGUAUAUCGACUUAUGAAGCUACCUUUUAUGCAUAUUUUAGAAGAAAAAAAAUAUUUUGACCCCGAUGAAUAGAGUUUCUGGCUCCGCCACUGAUAAAAGUCGAGGCUAUAAGUUUCUGAGGCCGUCCACGUGGAAUUUUAAACGACCAAUCGUGGUUGCACAUGUCAUUAAUUAGCAUUUUUAGCUAUCAUAUUAGUUAACAUUUUUUAAUUAUAAUAUUUUCUAUAUUAAGAUAUUUAUGAAAAGGAAAAAACAAUAUAUAUGUAAAGAAGAGAAAUGUCAAAUGUUUGAAAAAAACAUAUGAAAAUUUUUGGGUUUAAAAUGAAAAGGAAAAGGCUAAUAAUGAAAAGGAAAAAUUCUACUUGACAAAAAAAGGAAAAAAAAAAAACAAGAAGGUUUCUAAAUGCUAAAGCAUUGGUUUUAUGUAUAAAUAUCGUUCUAUAAUUUAGAAUGGAAUACAGAAAGAGAAUAGUUUAUAUUCUUGAAAAAAAAGGAGAGCUUAAAGAAGAGGGUCUAGGUUUAAAGGAUGAGCGAGAUGUUAUUUUUUACUCUGACCAUCAAACUGAAGAAGCAGCUCAACCUCAGUUUGUAGAAACCUUUGAAGAAGAAGAUCUAGGUUUUGACUUUGGGGAUGAACAAGAGCUUAACUUUAUCUAUGAAGAAGCAGUUCCAUCUCAGCUUGGAGAAUUUUUUUUUUUUUUGAAACAAAACCUUGGAGAAGUUGUUUCAUUCUACGGGUUGUCGCGCUUAUUGGUUGAGAACGAUGUUAGCUUUGACUUUGAUAAUCAAAUAGUGAUGUCGUCGGUGAAAAUGACAUGUAAACUAUUUGUUUGGAAGAGUUUGACUGUGGAACAACCGAACAAGUAUUGUGACUUUACUGUGUGGACACGAGUUUGACGAGGAGUCUUAUAGUGUGGUGUGUGAGAAGUCAUGCCUGUCCAUUGUGUCGACCAAUCUCGAUUUGCUAUUUUACAAAAAUCUAAAAUAUAGAAAAUUAGUAGAAUCUUAAAAAAAGUUAAGUAGUGAUUAUUUUGGGAUUUUAAUCGACCUAUCUCGAUUUGCCAUCUCACUAAUUAACAUUUUUUGUCAUCUCAUUAAUUAACAUUUUUUAAAUUCUACUAUUUUCUAUAUUAAUAUUUAUAAAAAAAGGAAAGAAAAAAUAAUAUACAUGUAAAAAAGAACAUUGUAAACUUUUUAAAAACAACUUAUGAAAAUAAAAAAAUGUCAAAUUUAGUUAUUAGUAUAUAUAAAAAUUAAUUUCAUAAUUCGAGUUAAGAAAAUUUAAACAAGUGAAAUGUAAACUUCUUGAAAACAUCAUAUGAGAAUAAGAAAAAUCUCAAAUUUAGUCAGGAGAAUAUAUAAAAAAGAAUUCAUAAUUAGAAUUAGUAAAAUUCCCUCAUUCUUAAAUAAUGUAGUUAAUUGGAAUUGGAAAGAUUUUAAAAGACAAAAAAAAAUAUUAAAAACAUUAUAAGAAAAAUGUCAAAUUUAGUUAGUAGUACAUUUUUUUUUUGGACAACUUGUUAUUAGUACAUAUAAAAUGCAUUUCAUACUUAGAAUUAGGAAAAUUUAAAGAAGAAAAAUGUAAACUUCUUCAAAACAUCAUAUGAAACUAAGAAAAAUCUCAAAUUUAGUUAUUAUAAUAUAUUAAAAAUAAUUUCAUAAUUAGAAUUAUGAAAAAUUUCAUGAUUCUUAAAUAAUGUAGUUAAUUGGAAUUGGAAAGAGCAUAGAAGACAGGAAAAUUAUGAAAUAAUUUAUGUAAAAGUUUUUUUUUUUUAACUUAAUAUUAGAUGAAGAAAUAUUCUUAAUUCUAAUGUAGUGAUUGAGGGUAUUUUAGAAAAUUUUUGUCGGAUAUUAUUGUUAAUAGGAAAGUAUUAUAAUUUAUAACAAAAAUGUCAAAUUUAGUUAUAUACUACAGUUCAUAAUUAGCAUUAGGAAAAGAAAAAUUUAAACUUCUUCAAAACACCACAUGAAAAAUAAGAAAAAUCUCAAAUUUAGUUAUUAGAAUAUAUAACUGGUAGAAAUUUGAAGUUGUUUGAACAAAAUGAAAGAUCAUUUUAUCACUUUGUGGCGCUUAAAAUAAUUACAAAAGAUAUUUGUUAGAAAACAUAUUGAAAAUAUUUUAUUGUGUAAAACAAUGUAAUAAAAAAUUAAACGAAAAGUUUUUUGGCAAGUAAUUAUCUUGAUUUGGAAUAGUAUCUUUUUAUGAUAGCAUAAAAAUUUCUAAACAUAUAAAGAGCUCCCAUUUUGAUUAAAAUCUAUAGUUACUAUGGCAUAAAAAUGAUAAUGAAGAUAGUAACACCAAUAUGAUAUGACUUCAAAGACCAAUUAGUACCAAUAGAGGCUAAUAAAUCAAGAUGAUUAAAAAUACAAAUAUAUUAUAACACAUAAAUUAUUGACAAUUGUUAAUCAACUACAUUUUAAAUUUAUGUUAUAGUUUUCUUAGUUGUGUAUUUGAAAUAGAAAUAUAGGCUCAAUAGUAAUUUAAGAAAAUUUAGAGACUCAAACGCUAUAAUACAUCAUAUUUCUAAUACGUUUUAUACUAAAGUUAUUUUAUACUAAAAUUAUCUUCAAAACUUUUUUUACUAUAACAAAUUAAGUUUUAAACAACAUUAAUGAUACUAAAACUAUAAAUAAAUGAACAUUUAUGUUUGAAAUAAUAAAAAAAAAACAUUAUAGUAUUUUUGCAUUAAUUACUGUAUGUCAAUGUAUAUUUAUAUAAAUGAAAAUUAAGGCCAAAAAUAUAUUAAAUUAAUCAAUAAAAACAAACCCCCGCGUAGCGGGGGGUUAAUAUAUAUAAAGAAUGCACGAGGAUCUUUAUAAUUAGUUCCUAAACCAGCCCAUCUCUUAAAAGAAUUUUUUUUAACUAUAUAUUUGGGUGAAACAAAAAGAGUGGAAUGUUUCCUUUUUGGGGAUGGUGGAGAUCCACCUCCUCAAAUUCUGUCAUCUUAUCACUACUUUUCUUAUUAGGAUAUUCCCAUGCGUAUUAUAUUUGAUUCAACUAAACAUUAUUCCAUUCAAGAAUUACCCAUAUUAACAAAACGACGAUAACUUUAGAGUCUUACAUGAACACGAAGAGGCGCAUUGGGCUUUCGACAAAAUCAAUAGAAAAAGACACUUAUGAUCGUACAACUUUUGUAAGUGAAAUGGUUAAUAAUCUCGUAGUUAGGAGUUUUCUUAUGUUUGUAGUUUCUGUUUUAUGUACAUUUCAUUUUUAACCAACUUAUUAGCUGAUAAGAGUUUAACUAAUAGUCGUUGUUUUAAUAGGCAGACCUAUUGUCAGUUUUUUUUCACGAUUUUCUUACUUUUUGGUUAACAAACAUUUCAUAGUCGUCAAUUUUGAUGUUUACUGCCAGGCUUGGAAAAAAUACUCACAAAAACAAACAUCAUUUUUAAGUAACGGUCAUAAUAUCAUGAAAGCCUCAAGUACCUUGUCUCUGUGUCUUUACUAAUACGUUGUAACAAACGUAAUGAUAACAUUCUUUUCCUGAUGAUGGAUUCAUGAUUUUAUGCUUUUUUUGGGUGAUCAAACAAACGUUACAACGUUCUAACUAUGACCGGGCCUAAUAGACAUUUAUGGGAGUCUAAUUGGGCUGAUUCCUUUGAAAACCCCUUUAGGUAACCUGACUAGAGAUAUUUUUUUAGAAGUUUGUUUAUGAACUACUUUGAUCUGUUAUAAUUUUUCAUUAUUCUAGUUACUUUCCUCAAUGAUUUUUUUUACCUUCUACUAUUAAACGUUUGGAAAAUUUUCUCAAGAGUCAACAAGAUUCAAGAGUGUGAAAUUGUAACAUAAAUUAAUUGGGCCUGAAUAUAUUAAGUUAGGCCCAUUAGUAUCAACACUAACACGAAACCAGCAAAAUCAAAUUUCUCGGGGGCAUCAGCUUCAGGUCGUCGUCUUCUACCUGAAUCAGUGCGUCGGCUCAGGCGACAAUGCAAGGAGGAUCGUCGGGAAUCGGAUACGGUUUGAAGUAUCAGGUGAUUCAUCAUCUUCUUCCUCUUCAGAUCUUCGUUAAUUUUCCUUAGUAAGAUUCUUUAAAGACGAAAUUCAUUUGUUUUCAGGCUAGAUGUAUAUCGGAUGUGAAAGCUGAUACGGAUUACACAAGCUUUCUCACCGGAACUUUAAGUUUGAAAGAAGAAAAUGAGGUGAACCCAUUUCUUGAUUGUGAUUUCUUCUUCUGUUUUAAAUUUCAAUCGGGAAGAUACUGAAGAAAGUUUUGUUUUUUUUUACCUCCACCAUUUGAGAUACUUUUAAGGUUCAUCUUCUUCGUUUGUCCUCUGGUGGAUCUGAGCUUAUAUGUGAGGGUUUGUUCUCUCAUCCUAACGAGAUUUGGGACCUUGCUUCUUGCCCUUUCGAUCAACGCAUUUUCUCUACUGUCUUCUCCACUGGUAAAUCAGUUGCAAGAAAUUAGAGAUUUUUAGUAAUCUUUUCGUAUUAGCCUUUGCUUGAAUGUGUCAAAAACUCAUAAUGGUUUUAUCCGUUAAGGUGAAUCAUUUGGAGCAGCGAUUUGGCAAAUUCCUGAGUUAUAUGGUCAAUUGAAUUCUCCACAAUUGGAGCGUGUUGCAUCUCUUGAUGCACAUGUUGGUAAGAUUAAUUGGUGAGUUUAUGAUCAAAACGUUUCAGCAGUCUAUUGCUAACAGUGAUGUUAAAGUGUUAAGAACUUAUUUCUUCCUUUUCCUCAAUCAUUUACUGAAGCUGACUCUCAACUUCUCUCUCUCUUGUGGAAACAGUGUUCUUUGGUGGCCUUCUGGAAGAUGUGACAAGUUAAUCAGCAUUGAUGAACAAAAUCUUUUCUUGUGGAGCUUAGACUGUUCGAAAAAGUCUGCUGAGGUGAUUUAGCUACGAGGAUAUUGCGACAACCUCUUUUUUUUUUGUGCUUUUUUCUCUCAUGUAUUUAGAUCUUUCGUAGGGUAUUUCGGUUAACAGGUUUCGGUUUCUAUAGGUUCUAUCUAAGGAUUCAGCUGGGAUGUUGCAUUCUUUAUCUGGUGGAGCAUGGGAUCCACAUGAUGUAAAUGCUGUUGCAGCAACUGGUGAAUCAUCUGUCCAGUUCUGGGACCUGCGUACUAUGAAGUAUGGUAUCACUGUUAAUAUCCUCUGUUCCGGCAUGCAAUUAGGAAGUUUUACGCGUUGGUUUUACUCACAGACGUUAUUACAUGCUCUCAUGGGGGUUUCAAUGUCAAAUUACUGUUAGUUGCUUUUGGUUUUACCUCCUCACAUGAACCCAUGCUAUACAUGUUGACUUUCUCCAUGUUGUUUGCCCAACGAAGGAAGGUUAAGUCAAUUGAACAUGCUCAUGUACGCGGUGUUGAUUACAAUCCCAAGAGAGAACAUAUACUUGUAAGACUCCUCUCUUGUACCUCCAAAACAGUACGAAGUACUCUAUAGUUCGUAUCCGAGCAUUGAGCUGAACUCAUUGUUGUGGAACUCAACCUUUGGUUUAGCAUAAAAGUAUUAUCAUAUCUAUGCUGUGAUAGAUUAAACAUUCGGUUAUGUAGGUAACUGCAGAGGAUGAAUCUGGCAUACAUGUCUGGGAUCUCCGGAAGGCCAAGGUUCCUGUCCAAGAGCUUCCUGGUCAUACACACUGGUAUGUUUGCUUCUGCUUCCUUUUUAAAACUUUUUUUUACAGGAACCAAGAACUUGAUCCUUGAAUUUGUGCCUUUGUAUGUUUUUGUCAAAUUUUGCAGGACAUGGGCUGUCAAGUGUAACCCUGAGUAUGAUGGACUGAUUCUGGUACUCUACUCUCUUUCUCCUUUGUUCUUCUUAACACAAUCAAAUCGUUCCACUUGGUAGCUAUGUAUGCCAGUCGCAGUUUUUAGCUGAAAUGUGCAGUUUUAUUUUUGGUACAUCCUACGGUUUAGCUUAGAAAAACAAAGCCUCUGCUUUAACUUUGCACACUUAUAAUUUGUGUCAAUUCUGAUUCAUUCAAGUAAAUAUACAGAGCGCUGGAACAGAUUCGGCUGUCAACCUGUGGUUUGCUUCAGCAUCAUCCAGUGAUGACAAAACCUCAGAAAGGUUAUUUCAAAUCUCCUAAACGUCCUCGCACCCAUGAUUUUCAUUUUUUUCCAACACUGUUUUGAUUUCAUUGUUACCAUAUUUCUCAGUCCUGUGGAAUCCACACGACAGCGUGUGAACCCGUUGCUUAACUCAUACACUGACUAUGAAGACAGUGUCUAUGGUAAAAUCUCUUACAUCUUACGAUUACCAUUUUAUCUUGUGAACUAAACAAUACUUAAAACACAGGCCUUGCUUGGAGUUCACGUGAGCCUUGGGUUUUUGCAUCAUUAUCAUAUGACGGAAGAGUAAGUAAACUUUCUCUACCCCAUAUACUCGCACAAGAUCAACCUAAACUUCAUUUAAAGAGCUUGGGGGGGAUUCAUCUGAUUAUUAUCUGUUGCGUAUAUAAAUGUUAGGUCGUCAUCGAAUCCGUCAAGCCUUUCCUUCCAAGAAUAUAGUAAAAACUCAGCAUCUCUUUUGCUCUGACCCAGACAGGACCCAUCUUUUGGUAAAGAAGUUGGCACUAUUGUAUUUGAAGCAAUGUACUUUUGACACAAUCUUUGUGGAUCAUGAUGUAUCUAUCUAUCAUUCACCCAGAUUCUUUCGGUACCAAUAUUCAGUUGCUUUGAACUAAACAGACUCAACGACUAAUUCUUAUCGGAAUAAGUAAGAAAAUAAACUGGAAAAAGGGGUCAUUCUUUCUCGGAUUGGAUUUCUAUGUACAGAAGAUAUUGAUGAGGUAUAUGACCACAAUAAAAAGUGGAUUUUGAAUCCUUCUUUUAACUGAAUCAAUCUGAUAGCAUUUCUUCUAGCUCAGGCUCUUCUGAAACAGAUAAUGCAUCAUCAUAAUCUAAUCUCGUACCAUUAUACAAUCCUCUGUCCUGUAAAUCAGUUUGGUCUUCCUCAUAAUCUGUCUCUGACGACUCUGCAUCUUCAUCUACAUUCUGUUCAUCAUCUUUUUUGUUUUUCUUCCCAAGUUUUCUCGAAUCCAUCUUUCCCGCCUUUGCCUUAGCAUCGGUAUCUUCGCAUAUACAAGCCGCUGGAUUCUCAUGAAACUCACCUCUUCCGGCUCGUACUUCCUUUGGCUCUCCCAUGAAUCCUCUCUGAAAUGUUCUGACUCUUGAAGCAAACUCCUCCCAAGUAGUAUUCUCUUUGCUCAUAAACAACUUGUAUAGCUUUUUCGCAUUUGGCCUAAUUGUCGGUUUAUGUCCAAAAUAUCUCCUACAUAAAACCAAGAAUCACUCAACACAAAAAGUUAACAACUUUGAAAACAGAAAUGAAGCAGAAAGAAGAAAGAUUAGCUUUGGUUAAUAAACUACCUUCGACCGGCUAAUAUUCUCGCCAUGUUUCCGUUAUUGUUGGUAACGAAAACAUCGCUUUCAUCACACACAAGGAAAUCAAGUGCAGCCAUUCGUGAAGAAUAAGAAGAAAAUGGUUUUAACUCCAUUUUUGUAGCUAUGGUGUCUUUUGAAUAGAAAUGUGGGAAAAGUGCUUUCAAAGGAACCAAUGAUUUUUCUCCUCCAUAUACUUCACCUGAUGCAACAUAUAUAUGAACAUCACUUCCAUAUCCCAAAGCUCUAAGCAUUAAUCCAACUUCUUCUGGUGUAAGCGGACAUCUUCCUUGUCGCCUUUGCUUUUCGGGGUUAUUUACCUGCAAUGCGAAAUUCGUAAUAUUUAACUCAUUAAAUCCAACAAGAAAAAAAGAAGGCCUUUGCACAGAUAAGAUUUAUAUCCAUACAUGUAAAGUUUUCCAUCUCCUUCUGAUUGUUCCUAACUCUUUCUUCUCCUUCUCACCACCACCAUAGUAACAUCCCGAGAAGGCGAGCAUAUCAGGUUCAAACCUUAGAUGUAAAGCAAUGAAGUGCUUGCUCUUUUUCCGCAUUCUUCGGACCAAUUCGUUACCCAUUUCAAGAAUUGGAUCAGUGAACUUAAGCGCAUGAUAAUUUACUCUACACCUCAGCUUCUGCAAAUCUUCUCUCAACUUGUUUGAGAGUCUGUAAUCAAAUCUAUUCAAUUCAACUGCCUGAAACAAAGAGUUACAUGACCAAAUCAUAUAUAAGCAUCAUAGAGAAAAACCUUUAGAUGCUAAGAAGCGUAAAGAUUGAGAGAAAAACAAGAAAACUUACAUGCCUUUUCUGAAGAACAGGUAACACCCGAUUGAUAUAGCAUUUCUCAUUGCAUUUUCUCGGUACACGCAUUCUGCGAGGGCUCCAUGUUUGCCCUCCUUUCUGUGGAAGUUUCUCAAUGAUUUUGACAUCUUUUGAGAGAAAUGAUAUAAACCAAUCGACAUCGAAAAUGUUCGAGAAGUCACUGCAUAUAUAAAAAGCAUAAAGUAAGAUGUUACUAAGAUGCAUAAUAUUUUGAUUUUUACGAACGCUUGAGAAAAAUCCUUAGCAAGAACCUGGCAUCUUUCCAGUAGGAUUUCUGGUCCAACUUCGGAAUAACAAGCGUAGCAUUUAGAAUCCGUGCAGCAACAACAGCAUCUACAAUCUGAAAGAAGUAAUUACAUUGUGAAACUCAGAACAAGAGUUAAGUAACAACAACAAAAAUCACCAUAAAACCAGAGGAAGCUAAAGGAACUUACUCCAGUCCGUUGUUGGUUUAAACCACCACUAGUAGCAAUCGCCAAGUAUCGAUCAUUUCUAGUAAUUGCUUUAGCAUCUGCAGUAAGAAAAUCAAAAUGUAGUGUGACUAAUAAACCUCCUGAAAAUUCAACACCAGGCUGAUUAGCUAAUUGCAGAAACAUUCAAGCAUUCUAAAAAUAACACUUUAAAAACCAAAAUUAAUUUAAAAAGUAAAAAACUUUACACACUUGGGAACUUGCUGCUUGCAUUACAACAACCAUAAAAGAAUUCAGCAUUCCAUGAACGCCAGAUAUCACGAUCCAAUUUCCCUCCACCUCUCUGCUUCGUUUUAAAACAAACACAAACACAAAAGGAGCCAAUAAAGAGAGAUGCAACAAACAAAUUCAGACUUUGCAAUCAAAUUUAAGAACCCUAACCGGAACUGUGAAAACCACUGGUAUGUUCUUCUUCUCAUCAUUGGUUCCAUAGUGAAUCUGCUUCUGCAAUUAAACAGAUACAAUGGCGUUAAGAGACAGAGAUCAGAAUCUCAUCAUCAACAAGUCUAUAGAGCGAGAGAGUAUACGGAGAUGCGGCGAUCGGAAUCAUCAGGAGGAGGGGAAAGAAUGGAGAGAAGAGCGAAGAGGAUGAGGAGAGCUCCAGAGACGGCGCAAAUUAAAGGGAGGAGAAGACGGAGACGGUUGUAGUAAUUGUAGCGCCGCCGCUGAAAAGCCAUUGAAGGCUAUUACACGCGGCGCUUUUGCCUUCGCCUCUACGCCAGAGAGAGAGAGAGAGACAGAGACAGAGAGAUUCCAAUGGAGACAAAAACAAAAGUCUUUCUCUUUAAGAGUACACUGGUUACAGAGAUUCAAAAUGAAAGUAUGUCUGUUCUGUUUUAUUUGUGAUUCUCCUCUGGUUUUUCACGACAUUUCCAUCACCACAACAAUCAUUGUAGAUUCUCUCUUUCGCUUCAAGAUUGAAUUUUUAUAUACCAGAGACAGAUAAAGAGAAAGAUUGAGAAUUUUUUUUUGUUAUUUGUUUUGGGACAGUUCUUAUAGAUUUCUGGGCUCUGAAAGAAAUGAGGCACCGCCUCCAGCACUUCGUUCUAAGUUCUAACAGCUUUAUUUUAUUUUUUUUAUUUUUUAAUUAUUACUCCUUAAUUAAUUAAUUUCAUUGAUUGUUUUAAUUUUGGUGAUAAACUAUGAGCUGGAUUUUAAGAAUCUUGCAAAAUGAAAGUUUUUCUAUUUGUUUCUCUAUUUCGUUUUGAUUGUUAAAUUUCCUGUUUUGUUUAAUUUUAUACUUAUCUAGACAUUAUUUGUUACUAAUAAUUGAUUUUAUCUAGUUUAGCAUUUUGUGAACUCUAACCAUCUUUUUUUGACAGAAGAGCAAGUUGGAAGCUAUGUUAUUCUAAAAUCACUUAAGAAACCAUUACUGUCUAAAUUUCCAUAAUGGUGUAAAUAUCACUCUUUGCUUUACAUUUGUUAUCAUCCCUAUUUUUUCAUCUUUAUAUUAGUAAAAAGAAGAAUAUUUUCAAAUUACUAUUUCAGUUAUUAACUUUUUGCUAAAGAGUGUAAGUGAACAAUAGCGUGAAGUGCGAAAGAAAGUAUACUCUUUUUGUCUGUCUUUUAUACCAGUUUCUGUUUACUUGGUCUUGUCACAAUCGAUGAACAUAAAUGGUGUGAACCGGUUUGAGAAUUCUUGCAUCCCUACUCUUAACCAAAAUCGGAAAUUAAUCUACGGUUUGAGAUCAUCUACUACCAUUCUACCUAUGGUCUAACCGAGUCAUGGUCCGGUUUAGUCACGUUGGUUUAAGCACUCGUAUUAAUUGAUUGAGCAAAAAGAUAGUUCACACGCAAAUUGAUUAGUAGAUGAUUAAGUUUAUCUUUACGCGUUCACGGAAUGAUUAUUUCUUGUUACAACUACAAGUUUCACCAUGUGAACAAUAGUGUUUCAAGUGUCAACCAUAGGGAUGGAUGGAGACUUAUAGCAAGUUCACUCAUUUCGUUGCAAUGUUAACAUCUACUUUUCGUAAAUACUAUACAACGUUAUUUGUUAGACUGUUAGGUGGUACACAAAUUUAUUUAGUGAUUAUAAGUUUUGUAAUUAUAUAUUUUGUAUCACAUGCAUCCAUAAAUAUGAAAUAUACUUUUCAAUUCAUUGAAACAUCAAUAGAAUUUUGCAUUAAAAUUGAAAAUAUCAUUGAAUUAUUGAAAAUGAUUAUGUAGAAUAAUCAAACUAGAGAGUAAAUUAAAUUUCUUAUUUAUGAUUUGAAGGGUAAAAAAACAUACAAAUUGAUUGAUACCAACCUCUUAAACCGAUUUAGGGAAGAAGAAACAAAUCGUAAGAAAAUCGAUUUAUAUAUUGUACCAUGUCAUGAGUCAUGACAUGUAUGUGUAGAACAAUACACGACUUUCUAACAACAGUAGUACUUUAUUUAGCUUUCUUAAAAUAGUCGAAAUCCAAUAAACAAAUUCCAGUAAAGAACAACAAAAAAUAGAUAAUUAAGAGACAAUGAUCCAAAGAUUGAUUCCCUUCAAAGAUAAUAUAGUAAAUAUAUAUCCAUCCACUUGCCACAGAUCAACUCUAAUCAGUAAUCAGAAUGCUGGGGAUCUAAUUUUCCGGAAUUCCAAUUUCAUCCCGGUUUUAUUAAUUUCAGAAACAUACAACUUGGUUUAAGUUUUCCAUUCCGGUUUAGCUUAGACACAAACAUGACCUUAUACACAGUAAUCAAUUUAUAAGACAUCUCAUAGAGAUUGGAAGUAACAAAAAGAGCUUACCAAUUCAUAACUUGCUUCUGCCUUUCUUUGAUAUGCUUCCCAAAGCCUUAGCCUUGGUCCUCAGAACAAACUUCUGAACUUUUCCGGUCGAUGUUUUAGGAAGAUCCUCAAACACGAUACUCCUCGGAGCCAUAUAAUGCGGAAGCCGGUCCCUGCAAUAGCUUAUAAGCUCCUCCGCGCUGGCCAUAGACCCAUCUUUAAGUUUCACAAAUGCACAAGCAGUCUCACCCCAAUACUCAUCAGGCCUCGCAACAACAGCUGCUUCAAGAACACAAGGAUGAGUGAACAGAGUAGACUCGACUUCAAUCGAGCUAAUGUUUUCUCCUCCAGAGAUUAUAAUGUCUUUUGAUCGGUCUUUCAGCUCUAUGUAUCCGUCGGGGUGUUUAACACCUAGGUCGCCACUCCAAAACCAACCUCCUUUAAAAGCUUCCUUGGUUGCUUCAGGGUUCUUUAAGUAACCAUUCAUCACUGUGUUUCCCCUGAAGACAACUUCACCCAUAGUCACACCAUCAGCUGGCAAAGUUCUCAUGGUUACAGGAUCUUUAACUUGUAUUUCCUCGAUCCCUAUAUGAUUCACGCCUUGCCGGGCUUUCAUUUUUGCCUGUUCUUCUCUAGGCAAAGAGUCCCACUCAGGUUUCCAUGUACAGAUGGUGCCUGGUCCAUAAGUUUCGGUUAACCCAUAGGAAUGAAACAUAGAAAAGCCCAACUCUUCCAUCUUGUAAAUCACAUGAGCUGGUGGCGGUGCAGCACCGGUUAUAAAAGAUACCUUCCCGGGAAGCGAUUUCUGCUCGGAUUCAGGCGCAUUGAUAAUCAUAUUCAAUAUUGUUGGCGCACCUCCCAUGUGAGUCACCUUAUGCUGGGAAACAUUAUCGAAUAUAGCCUUGGCCGUCACAUUCCUCAAACAUAUAUUAGUCCCACCAAUUGCGGUAACACCCCACAAUAAGCACCAGCCAUUGCAAUGAAACAUGGGAUUAGUCCAUAGAUAAGUAGGCGAUGAGUGCAUUUCGUUGAGUAAAACCGCAGCCAGAGAAUUCAAAUAAGCACCUCUGUGACUAUAAACAACACCUUUGGGACUUGAAGUGGUACCUGAAGUGUAAUUAACAGAUAUAGGAUCACACUCAUCGGUUGGUCGUAUAACCUCGAAAUCCGAUUUCCCCAUCGCCACAACAUCUUCGUAUUCCAUUAUAUCCUCCUCAGAUCUCUUCUUCCCUGAAACAGAUUGAGUAAGAGGCUCUGGGACCAAGACCAAAAUCGGGACCUUGUCACCCUUCUUCGAGAGGAUUUCACAAGCUCCUUGAGCAAUUUGGAGAAACUGAUGAUCUGCAAAAAUCACUUUUGUCCCUGAAUGUCUCAAUAAGACAGCUACAAGUGCAGAAUCAUGACGAAUGUUGAGUGUACAAAGCAAAGCUCCAGCCAUAGGAACACCAAAAUGCAACUCAACCAUAGCUGGAAUGUUUGGGGCCAACACUGAAACCUUGAGAAUCAGAAAACGCAGCAAACUAAGUUUCGAUUAAAUUGAAAUCCAAAAUUAUCAUCGAUCUACGAACACAAAAGAUCUCCAAAUUGCAUGGGAUCAACAAAAUAAACAAGCUAAUAAGGAAAGAAAAGGCAAAAUCGGUGAAAGAGAGCUUCUGACCACAUCUCCGGUAGAGAUUCCGAGCUGGGAGAGAGCGGAGGCGAUUCUGACGCAGCGGUCACGAGUCUGGCGCCACGUGUACUUGACGGAGCCAUAAACGACGGAGACUCUGUCAGCGUAGACGACAGCAGAUCGAUCGAGGAAGCUGAUUGGAGUAAGAGGAACGUAAUUGGCCGGAGAUUUGAUAGUUCCCUCCAUUUUCUUAGUUUUUUUCGCCGGAAAUGUAGUAGCUUUAGAUUUUUUUGUCGUAUUAUUUAUGAAGCAAAUGGUCUAUUUGAUUUUUGCAAUCAGUCUAUAGUGUGUGUGGGCUCUAAACAGAGACACACCACAUGGCACAUGUAUGUAUUCAUUUUUUUUUUUUUUUUUUUUUGGAAAACACAUUUUACAAAUUGAAUUUACAUAUCUAAUUAAAAACAGUGGCUUUGAAAGGCACUACUACUAUAAAAGAGCUCAAGAAAAAGCCUGAGACUUGGUGAAGAAUGGCGAGACCAUCCAGCAUUUGAGAUUAGUUCAAUGGACAUCAGAUUUGGCAGUCCAGGUUCCUGGACGAGUUGGUCUAUGAUCCAGAAACAGUCAUUAAGCUUCCAGUGUCAGACAUGUAGUGAUAAUUGUAAUUGAUUCUGGUCACCAAAUCUGCCAGAUGAGGGAAGUGUCCCACGUUCAGCUUUGAAGUCAAUACCUGUGAGUUCCAAUAUACACAUUUAUUAAACUGAGGAGACAAGAAAAGAGUACACAGAAUUUUAGAUAAAAUGGAGUGGCCUUACUCUAAGGAGGAAUGCAAUACAGUCCUCAAAUUGUUUCUCAAUGCGGUCUAUCUCCAUUUCACAUCUAGCCUUGAUAGCUGAAACUGCUCCACCGCUGCUCAGCGUCUGUUGUAUUGAGUAGAAUUCUAGAGCUAACCCGAGAAUCAUGUUGAUCCGACUUGCGAUGAUUACCCACUGUAUACAGAACCCACCAGAUACUUAGUUUUUACCCAAAUAUUUAUUAUGCAUAUAAUAAUGGUCCAUUACCAGCUUUUCUUGAACCACAAAACAUUGCCUCUGAAUCGAUAACAAGUACGUCUCAUGUACAUCUAUCACCUCAUCUAGAGACCCUGCUUUUACCAUAGCUUCGCACAGUUCACGCCAUGCAGUGUGAUAUACCUGUUUACAAAAUCCAGUCAGGCCUAAUAAGAUUCAAGCUAUAACAUCAACUUUCAAUUUUGCAAAAACACUUGCACCCACUUAUAACAACGCAAAUUAAUACGGUAAUUAUAACAAUUCAGUAUCAGACAAUACCCUGUCCAUUACGUAUUGAUGAAAAGCAUCCACAAAAUUGAGGAGCUUUUGUUCCAGUAACCAGUGGUGCUUGCGGAUUUUUGUUGCAGAGCCUUUACCCUGUAAUACACAAACACCAAAGUCACUAAGUUUAUCAAACUAAACCUCAUUAUUAUGAUUCCUCUUUACAUUACGUAUAUAUCAAAAAACUAAUCAGGCUAUCUGAGAUUGGAUUUGGAUGUCAAAUGAAGCAGUCUUAAUGGAAAGAAAUGAGUUUGAGAGAUAUCAAAGACCUUCCACAUCCACCUUCGUGCUUUAUCAAGCACAUAUUUUGCUCGUUUGACCUUCAACAAAAAUCCCAUCACCUGUUUUCAUUUAAAUAAUUAACACAUAGAACAACACACUGUUUCCCCACCAAAAUUAGCUGGAUGAGAAAGGCUCACCUGGUUAUACUUCUUAAUGGCCUCACUGUUCGCAAUAAGCUCUAGCGGCCACGGCACCUUAAAAGGAAAUUUGUUAAGAUCUUUAAAUGCCCAUAGCUGUAGCACAUGUAAUAUGCCAGUACGCUGCAAUUGGGUGUAAGACUAAAUGCUUUUCUCUACACCUUGUAUGUGAAUUUGAGAGACUCAAGGCAAUCUAUCCCAAAAUUGUUAACGCGGCUUUUACGAGUUGAAGAACGGGGUUUGACUUCACCCUUGUCAUCUUUGUCUCUGUCCAAAGACCCUUCACUGGAAAUAGAUACCACCAAUGCAUCAGGACUGCUUAACAACAUGGCAUCAGCUGAAUUUCUAAUAGAUUCCUGUAAAUAACCAUUACAAUUUUGAAUUAAGUUUGUUUGUAUGAACACGAUAUACCGCAAUAGAAAACAGGGAUACAUAAGCAAAAAAUAAACAAACAGAAUCUGUUUACUAGAGAUAACUAUAAUGAUGAGAGCAGUGUUUCUAGAAAGAAGUUCACCAAACGUGGUUACCUGAAGGAUUAUGUUCAACUCAAAAUCAUCAUUUGAUGACUCUCCCUUGCUCAGUCUAUCGAAUAUGACAGUCAGAAAAUGCUGCAGAAGGUCCCCUGAAAAAUUUAAAGGAUUUAUUAAAAUUCCAGUUACGAUCCUAUUGCCAAAGAAGUUGAAGCACAUAAAACGUACCUGAACCUAACAAGUAAAUGGCACGCAACACCGCAAGUUCGUGCAUCAAUUUCCAAUCAUUCAUUAGUUUUGACAAAAUCACUUUGCCAAUGUCGUCCACCUACAACACGCACAACUAUCAGAAGGUAAGUAUGCAUGUCGUAGCAACAAGUGGCAAUGCAAAGCUUACAUCACAGUACCUGCCUCCUGAUGUAGAUUGUCAAGCAUUCUUGCAUUAUUACAACAGGAAGUGGAGUAUCCCUUGGCUCUGCCUUAAGCAUCCAGCUGAGAACUCUGGAAGGAAGUGUACUAUUCUUUUGGAAAGGUAGAAAUUCUGACAUAUGGAGCUUCGGCUUUUUUGUUUUGUUUUUGUUGAUCACAAAUAUUUCAAACUAAGCGAUCAGAAACUAUUGCAAAUGGGACAAAAGUGAAGGAAUGGGCAUAAAAUGAUCAGUAUCUAAGUACCUGGAAUGACGGAAGCAAUGUGGGAAAAGGAAAUAACGUUUCUAGAAUUUGGGUGUCAUCCUGAUUAGAAAGAUAUUCAGAUCUACCGAAUUGGAACCCAAAUUUGUAGUUUGUUCCGGUCAAUCCUGUAUCUGCCACGCCAGAUCCCUCAAAAACAGCACUCAACAAACUCUCAUCAUUUAACGAGGGUAGGCAAUAGUUUUGUGAUAAGUUCAAGACAUUCCAUGCAUUCUUAUUCCUCUCAAGAUCCAUUUUAGAUACUGAAACAACAGGGUUUUCAUGACAAAACAACCGCUGCAACACCUUUUCGGCAACGAGAACAUUUUUCUCGUCUUUAACAUGACUAACAUAACAUGGACUCUGGAGUUCUGAUUUGGCGUCUAUAGAUCUUUUCUCUUGCACAGCACCAACCAACAACUUAUACCACAUUCGGUCUGAGUAUGUGAGAGCUGAAAUAUCUCUAUCACCUGUGCCAUCCACUAGCCUUCCACUUAUAUAUAAUGGCAAAGUUGGAGAAAUCUCCCACUCAUCUGUCUCAUCUUUCCACAGGUAUCUAGAUACAUGAUCACCAUGGCCUAUGAGACCAGCAAGUGAUAGACAGAAGAUUUCAGACAAGGCUAAGUCUGCAGUGCUUCUAAAGCUGUUCCUCCCAGCCAGGAGUAUGCCACAAGCCGAAUUCCCAAAAUCAUUUUGCCCAUGGUACUGAAUCUUUCCACACUUUUCUGAAGACGUAGAAGGAAUAUGCCGCAUCAGCUGCAGUGACUUUCCAGCAGAAACAAUCGACUUACAGAUGUCUUUUAUGAAUAGAGGGCAUAACACCCGAUUAUUCUGCUCUUUGUCUUUGUCAGAAACUGAAUUGGAGUCAUUUCCACUCAUUCCUUUCUUUUGAUUUAGCGAAGUUACAUUUGAUUUUGGACCCAGCACCCUCGUCAACAGAUAGCUUUUCUCCCAAAACUCUGCAUCGCUAACGGAGACAGAUUGGUUGGCUGAAAAAAACAACUGCGAAGAAACAAAAGUUAAUCUUCACCUCAACUAAGAAUUUCAUCAUCAUCAAACUUUCAAUUUGCUAGCCUUGUAAAGAAUAUACUUUGAUGUUGGCAUAAAAAAGAUAGAGGAAAAUUGUUGAAAACCCAUGGACCAUAAAUACAACUCCAAGAACACCUACCUCUUCAAAAGGAUCAUCAAGAGUUCCUUCAAAUAACCAUGAAUCCAAACCUUCUACAUAUGGCAAUAAACUUCCAGCAAAUAUUUGCAGCAGCACAUGAAAUCCUUCCACCUGGUCAAAAUAUUUUCAAUAAUCCAAUUAGAGAAGUGAGCAGCAACAAAAGCAAAAAAAAAAAACAUAAAACUCAUGAAAACGGCCACAACCUCACCACCUUGGACAAGGCAUACUUCAUCCAGCCUCUUGUAAAGGUAAUCAAGAACGUGGACAGCAAUUUCAGCGGUUGAAAUAGCUGAAGUCGACUCAAAAUACGCAUGAGGGAUCGCACCUCGUACAACUUGGAAAAGAUAUUCAGCACCUGAACACAGACUAGCAAAAAGAAAGAAGAAAAAAAAAGGUGAAGACUACUAUAAAAUAUAGUUCUUGAACCGAGAAACAGCAUCAUCGAUAUAAAAAUGACUUAGGCUACACACCUAGAUAAAGAAGUAGUUAAUCCCAAGAGAGUUGGAGUGACAGCAACAUUAAAAUCGUUGAUCUUCACUUCCUCAUUCAAAGCAAUAUCUCUGAGUCUCUGUUCGAAUGCCCAAUUGUAUAUCAGUCUCAACAAAACAAAGGUUCAAGAACAAGCCAAAUAAAAAAACACGAAAAGGGAGUUGUGGACUACUUGCCUCAAGCCAACCAGAGACAGAGUUCGAAAAUCCCAUUAAAGUAGGAGGAGAUCUAAGAGAGGUAUUAAUUCCAGCAACAAUAGACUCCACAAGCUUCAAACAUGUUGCGGCAUACAAAAAUCCAGCGAGAAGGACAUGAAGGCUUGGCUGAGACAAAUGAGAGACUCGUAUCUCACUUUUAGCGCGGAAAGUUUGUUCCUUUUGGUCCCAGAAAAUGAAGGGACUUGAGAAACCUUGCAAAGCUUGUAAGAGACCUUUCACCUAAAUCAAACAUGCGGAGAAUAAGGGUUGAAUUGCGUUGACGAUAAGAAACUGAAGAAUAAGUGUUUGCGGCAUUACCAGAUCGGAUUCAUUCACGCUCACUGAAGGAGGAGUUAGUUCUGAGUGUGUCCAAACUCUGCGACUGCACAUCGCUCCUGGAAUUAGGGUUUCUAAGCAAGCGCGAUCAACUCGAAGCAACGACUCGGACAUCACUGUGAAUUUUGGUUUUCCAUAUCCAAUUGUUAGGAGGGAAAUCGAAGAAGCUUUGAUGCGGAUGAAUUUGAGAGAGAGAGUCGGUGAGAGUGUGAGACUGUGAGAGCCAGAGCAAGUGAAAAGGUCUCAAAUGGGCCGAAAUUAUAAAGGCGCAUUUGAAUUUUUAAUCAAAGUAACAACAAAGAGUGUACAUUUGUGUUAAGAUUAUUACGAACGAUCUGAAACAUAAAACCUUUUUUCGUUGGUUAAGGUAAUUUGAUUAUCAAAUGUAAGAUAUCUCAACUCAGUAUUCAAAAUGAACAACGUCUGUAAUAUGAACUUUUGAGUCUCAAAAGAUGUAACUCUCGGAAGUCAAAAAAGCUAAAGUGAAGUUUCUAAAAGACAUGAUCAGAGUUCAAAUGUUAAGAGAAUCUAUGAUGCAAUAAAACUAUAACGAGAGACACAUGUGUUGUUGAGUUGCUUGGUGUCUCUAAGUCGUGAGCAGAAGAUAGACAAGGCCUUUUAGAUAUUCCACUAUUUCAGAUCCUCCGAGCUUCGAAGUUCCAAAAACUCUGUCAACAAAAGUGAUCGGUACCUGCAGAUGAAGAUGAGCACCAGGGAAUCAUGAAUAUGAAUGAAGUAAAGAGAUUACAAGGAAUCAAAAUCACAGUGAAUUGAUAUAAAAAUUGAGACCUCUUCAAUAUGGUAUCCUUUUCUGGUUGCACGAACAAUCAUUUCCAUCUGAAAGACAUACCCUUUACUCACACAUGAGCUAAUCACGUCUUCAAGCACCGAUUUCUUGUAUAGCCUUCCAAACAAAGAGGUGCUGAGGUCAGAAAUGAAACUAUUGAAUGAUGUCAGUAAAAAAGAUGCACGUAGGUUGUUUGAAUUUUACCGGAAUGAUCCUGUUAAAUCCGAUACACCGGGCCAUAAAAGUGUUUGAGCUAGCACAUUUGCUCCUCUACUAGUGAGUUUCCGCAUAAGAUUCCACCCGUGUACACCACCACCUUUUACAUAUCGUGUACCGGUUACUAUACUUGCAUUUGUCUCUAGUUGUUUCCUUCAUGAUAAGAAAAAAAGAGAGUCAAUUGAAGUUACUAUAGCUUGUGAAAUUAGUAAGAGAUCAAGAGACUUUUCUUUUUCUUACUUGAUGAAACUUGGUAAGUAUUUUGGCUGCACAAAAGAAAAGUGACUGGGUUAGCUCAACAAUUAGAGGGGUAAACAAGAAAACUCAAUUGGUGGCUCUUACAUGAUGUGAAAGAUCAGCAUCCAUGAUUACGACGAAAUCACCCGUAGCAUGCUUCAAACCAUGAAUAUAUGCAGUUCCUGAGAUUGGUCAUGCCAAGAAGAUUAAUUCCACUUCUUGUUAAGCAAAACUAGAAGACAAUGUAGAUACAAAUUACAUACCCAGACCAAGCUUCUUGGCUCUAGCUCUUAAAAGCUGCAUCAUAAAAAAACAAAAAAAACAUAAGUUCCCCUAAACAGAAGAACACGCAAUAAUUUACCAAUUAAGGUCCUAAAACGUCAAUUGUACUCACGAUACGGUCUUCACCAUACAAUUGCUGCAGUUGCUUGACAAUUUCCUGUGUGCCAUCAGGACUCCCAUCAUCCACAACAAUUAUCUCAAAAUCAACGUCCCUAAAUCAUACGAAUAAGUGACGAAGCAAAUUCUCAGUAACUUUUAACAGAGAAGAGUCUACUUAACAAGUGCAAUUCUAUUAAAUUUCUAAUAAGCAGCCACAGCCAGAAUCGAUCUGAGAUUAGCACAUCUAGCUUCUGAUCAUUCUCCGAUCACAAAAUCAAAGUUUUUAAAACACCCUGAAACUAAUCCUAUAUAGUUUGAGGGAUCACUACAUUGGCCUUUACUAGCUCAUGCACACAAACAACAAUCACGAAUUAGGAUCUGCAAGCUAGAAACAUGAUCGGAAAAUUUCCGAGAUCCAUAACUUGAAAUUGGCGAUCAGAUUCGAAUUUUAGCAUUCAGUCAAAGAAAAAAAAAACAGAAAGUUCUUCGCGAACCGGAUUAUGGAAUUAGAGAAGAAACGUGAAAAGAUCAAAAGAAAUAAUAUUCAUUUACCGGAGAUGCUUGAAAAUCAGGUAGACUAUGAUAGCGAUGUUGAGGCGCUCGUUGUAUGUAGGAAUGAUUAUGCUAUACUUGUACUUCUUCUCUCCUUUGGGCUCCAUCUGGUCCGCCAUAUCUUCCGGCGAGUUUUCGCAACGGUGGUUCCUUCGUCUGAAAAUCAGCCGUCAUCUGUACAAAAAUAAGGAUUAAAAAUGUCAAAAUAUAGGGACUAAAAAGCAAGUUUCUCAAGUUGGGCUUAAUAUAAUAAACGGGCCUAAUAUAAAGCCCAACAAUAAAUCAGGAAAGCUUUUUAAAGAGGUAAAAUUGUCAAUCGCAUCUGACUCGCUCUCUUUCCUUCCGCCAUUUUUUUCUUUCUAGGUUUCAGAGUUAAAGGAGAAGGUUUUUAAUUAGGGUUUUUGUAGAGAGAGAGAUGAGCCGAAGUUUGGGGAUACCGGUGAAGCUUCUUCACGAGGCCUCAGGUCAUAUCGUGACGGUGGAGCUAAAGAGCGGUGAGCUUUACAGAGGAAGUAUGAUUGAGUGUGAGGAUAACUGGAACUGUCAGCUCGAGGAUAUUACUUACACCGCCAAGGUAUUCAACUGUUACUUCGAAGAUCUCGAUUCAUUUUAUAAGAGAUUGUUUUUUGAUCCAUAGGUUUCGUUUUUAAUUUCAUUGUUUGAUGUUAGUGCUGUUAAACCCUAGAUUUGGUGAGCUGAGAAAUUUUGGAUUGCUUCUUAUUUAGAUUUCUAAGUGGGGAUUAAGUAUCCUUGAAAUUUAUGCUGUAUAAAACCCUAGAAUUGGUGAUCUUGUGAGAGACAUUAGAUAAAUUUGGACUCUUAGGGAAUAGUACUCAGAUUGGUUAAGCUUAUUAUUGAUCUAUAGGACUCAUCAAUUUGUCAACAUACGUGUAUUUCAAAUACAACUUAGUGGCGUCGUUUGUUAAUUGUCACUUAACUUUUCAUUUGGGGUUUUCCAAUGCUGUGUUACAGGAUGGUAAGGUAUCACAGCUUGAGCAUGUCUUCAUUCGAGGCAGCAAAGUCAGGUGCUGUAACUAACACUUCUUUUACUUGUGCUUGUUUCCUUGUUUAUGUAAUUCAUAGGAUCAUUCUUGUAACCCUAACUGAUUAGUAAUUGACUUGCGGAUAUAUCUUGACAGGUUUAUGGUCAUACCAGACAUUCUCAAGCAUGCUCCAAUGUUCAAGCGCUUAGAUGCUAGAAUCAAGGUAUAUAUGCUUUUUGAACCUGGAUGCAGAAUGAAUUAGAGUCUCUAUGUAUAUCUUCUAUAAACAUCAUACCUUAUUUGCUUAAUCAAUGUAGGGAAAGAGCUCAUCACUAGGUGUUGGCAGAGGUAGAGCUGCAAUGCGAGGGAAAGUAAGUUCACUCUCUCUCUCUCUCUCUCUCUCUCUCUCUCUCAUGAUUUAGUGCUCAUAAAAGCAAUUUUAGGAAGUUUUAUGGAACUUAUUAAGCAUAUUGAAAUCCUUACCAGCCUUUAAUGCUUUGUUUCUUCUUCUUUGCCAUUACUAAUGGUUGGAGUCUUGAAUCUUUGUGAUAUUAUCUUAAAGCCGGCUGCCGGGCCCGGGCGUGGAACUGGAGGAAGGGGAGCGGUACCACCUGUGAGGAGAUGAUUGAUUUUACGCUCAACAUGUAAGCUUUGAUUCUGAGACAGUCCUUCUGCGAUAUCCAGGUGAAAGCCGCCUUUCUUGGUUCUGUUAUCUAUGCUUUAGGGUACGCUGUAAAACCAAACAAGAGAGAACAAGAGAGAUAUGUCCAGAUGCACUAGUAGUUCUGUAUUUUGGGGUACCAAGAUGUUUAAAUCAUUGACAAGUUUUCGUUAUGAUCUUUUUUCUUUUUUGCGCAUUCUUCAUUUCUGACAGUAGAUGAGUAAAACAAAGCACAUUGUUUUCAAAAAGGUCUUAGACUAAGAUCAUAACGAAUAUCAUAAAACAAAGUUUAAUUGAAGGAACAAGAUAAUGAAAUACUAGAAGUAGAUGACCAUUGACUAAAUCUCCCCUUUACAAUGUUUGUUCAACUCACUGAAGCUAUUUUCCCAAAUUACAAUCCAAAAAAGUGCCAUGUACCAAAAUGACUUGUAGAAUAUUUGAUACAGUCUAGAGGUUAGUUCCAGAGUACCAAAACGACUUAUAGAUUUGAUUCAGUUUAGAGGUUCAGUUCCUGAGUGAUAUUAACCAAAAUGGGUCAUAGAUUUUCCUGAGUUACAACAAUUCUAUACAUGAAAUUAUUAGGAUCGAUUCACAAUUUGAAUAUAGGAAAACAUGAUAUCAAAAGACUGACUGCAUCUUUUUAUUCUCUCUCAAGUGAAGAAAGAUCUAAAGACCUUAAAAAGAGAAGAACCGAACCAACAACAAUUGUACAUCUCCUAUUUGGGCAACUUGCUCUAUCUCUCUCUCUCUCUCACUCUUUUUCAAAAGAAAAACUCGAGUUAAGUCAUAUUAGAUUCUUAUUAUAGUCUUUUUCCUCCAUUAAAGCAGAAACCCAGCUGGUUCAGUUCUUGCAGCAUGACAGAACUUAGAUGUGUUGUACUUCCUGUGAACUCCUGUGAGCUUCCCUGUUCCUGCCUUGUGAUGGAAAGCAACCAUCUUUCUCGCACAUUCCCUAGAAUAAAACACAAAAAAACCAUUGUCAGAAUUCGAAAAUCUCAUCUGGGGUUUUCAAAGAAAUUCGAAACCAUCAAUGUAUGUUCUUACAGUAGCUGUUCUUCCUUGUAGCCUGUGUGAAACUCACAGGUUUUGCUCCAUUCUUCAAAUCCCUUAAGUGUACACUGAGCAGUGUAGAUUGCCGAGGCCGCAAGCUCAGAUGGAAGAUACUCUAGCAUCUCAUACUCCACAAGGCAAAGCUCGAUCAUAAAGAACGAUAAAACCUCAAGCUGAAACCACAAUUGCAUACCACACAGAUUUUAGAUAUUAGGCCUGAUGGUUCGAACAUAAAGAUUCAAGUUUUUAUUUAUUUAGGGAGAUAUGUACCUUUUUGUCAGAUUGGGCAGCUUUGAGAAAGCGUUUCAUGAAAACAUAUGGAGUUGGUAGAGAGAAAUUGAAUUGCAAGGUGUUGGCCAUUAGCUUCUCCUGCAAUAGAAACCAAAAACAGGUAAAUUCAACAUUGAAGCAUCAUCCUAUGGUAAUUAAUGAUCAAGAGAAAGUUAUGUAUUCACCAUAUCUAGCACUUCUCUUCUAGUGUAAGCUUUGUCAGAGAUCAAGAUGAGAUCAUCUACCACUGGAACUGAAACUUCUUCAUACUUACAUGCAAGCAACAAAGCAGUAACACCAACAAGCUGAAGCUUUUUCCUCAAGAUUUGAUGAACCGCAAGGAAUCUGUCGAUGACAUUGAUUGUGAGAUAAAGAGUUUCUUCCAUCAGCUCAAACUUGUAGUGCACCUACUCGAAAUAAAAUGAUCCAGUCAAUUUAUCUUCAGGCACAUUGAGACAACAACAGUGACAUUAAAUAGCUUUUGUCUGGAUCUGUUUACCUCAAUUAACCAGUCAAUGAGGAUUCCUCUCAUCCUCUCAUUAAGAUCUUGUUGAUUGCCCAUGUAGUUAGGAGGCACACAACUAAGUUUCUACAGAAUCAUAAGAAUGAAUCAAACAUAAGUACAAGAUUUGAAACUAGAAUCCUUUCGAAGAGAAAGAACAAAACAGCAAAAGUUCAUGUAAAGCAAGACAAAGUAACCUCAAAAUUCUUGUAGAAGGUAUGCAUAUCAUGGAUAUAUUCAACCGCAGCCAAAGGAUUCUUUUUAUCACAGGCAUCAAUAUCGAUCACAGGCUCUUCUUCUUUGUCUGCAUCUUCCAUUUCAAUCUCCUUCUCCUUUUGAAAGACACAAACAAUAUGAGUAACUCAAUUAACACUUCUGCACACAAAAAAAACAAAGAAGGGGUUAGUGAAUAUGUAUACCUUCUGGUCAAUCUCCUCCAGCAUUGCUUCAGUGUGUUGAACAAACAUUGGCUCAUUAAAGUCGCCUCCUUCUGUCUCACUAUCAUCCCCAUCAAUGAUAAUCCUCUCUGGUUCUUCGCUUGAAACCGAGUCUGGUUUCUUGGUUUCCUAAGAGUUAAAGAUCAGAAAUUUAAAUCCAGUCUAAUUUCUUAGUUUCCUAUGUCAUCAUUGCUCUAAACGAAACACACACUGAACAGUGUCACAAUAGGGUACCUCCUCACGGAUUUGUGGCUUCUGAUCUGCUAACUGAGCAGCAAACUUCCUGAACCAACAGAGAGUAGAAAAAUCUCAGUAAUCAGACAAUGUGAGAUACUCAAAGUAGACAAGAGUAAAGAUCUAUACUUUACCUAGUAACUGGUCGAUGCACAGGUGGUUUAUUACAAAUGCCAUCCCUUCUGCAUAAUCAGAGAAAGAAAUUGGGUUCCUAAGAGUCAAAUCAAAGGGAGAAAAAAAAAACUAAUCUUGAAUCUGAGGAUUUAAAGUAAACUUACUCAGACAGUGAUCUUUUGUUAACAGCGUAAGGGUAAGACGGCGCUUCAAUGAUGUUCUUGUUAAUAGUGCUUAGUGCUCUUCUGGUCGGUCCUUUUGUUGCCGUCGUCUUGAUCUUUCCUCCUCCGCCUGCACCAAGUAAAUUCGAAAUCAAUUUAGGGGAAAAAUUAAAGACGAAGUUUUGAUUUUUGAUAACAAAAUCGUUUCGAUUUUAGGGUACCUUGGAGAUUCAUUGAUCCGAUUAAUCCAAGGCUAUUUUCAUCUGAUCUAACCAUUUUCUUCUUCUUCGUUAUCUGCGGGGGUUAUUUAUUUCAUUAAAUCUCUCUUGAAAAAUCAAAUUUCAAAAUUGAAACAUCCCCCAACUUAAAAGCAGGGUUUUUUUAAAAUUGAAAUUGAAAAAAAAAAAACUAGUCUUGACAAUCAAAACCCUACAGAUCCGGUUUAGUAAUCUCGAAAAGUCCCAAUCAAGAACAAGACCUAAAUCCCAAAUACCCAGAUAACGAAAACCCACAAAUUUGUUCUUCAAAAAUAUCACCUUUUUACAGUCAAUUCAAAGAACCACCGCAAAAUUAAGUCAACCCUUGUCCCUUGAUCACAGAUUCUUCAGAAACCCAGUGAAUCUCCUAAACCCUAAUAGUCUUUUCCCCGUUGAAUCCAAGUUGAUCAAACAAAGGAGAGAAAGAGAGAUCUUUUAGUAAAACCCAAAGAUUCAACCACGCUCUCUUUCCCUCUAAUGGCUUCGAUAUUGAAGAUCCCUCACUCUCUCUCUCUCUCUAUCUUUCUUCUCUCUCUAUAUAAGGGCAAAGAAAGAAAAAAAAAAGAGUAAUAGAGAUUUUGAAGACAAGAAGAGCGGAUAUAUUGUCUGUAAAUUUUUAUUUUUCUUUAAAAUUAACGGCUAGUUCAUCUCAGCCGUUGGAUUAAAGCCACGUGUUCCUAAUCGAAAGUUGCCUUCUACUCAACGGAUAUCAUUGUUUUUCCUCCAUGUGUGUAACUUAUUCAAAUUCUUUGGGUUUUUUCUUUCUUUUUUUCUAUUUUGGGGAAGACAACUAAUUUUUUUUUUUGAAAAUUAUACUGUUAAUAUACAUUUCUAUAAAAACAAAAAAAAAAUACUUCUAUUUAAAAGAUUGAAAUACGUCUCCUUUGACCAAAUGACGAUGAGUCGUUUUAUAUUAAUCUCAAGUUAAAUGACUUUCUUUUUCAAGCAAGAAAUCUCACACAAAGUUUAGAUCUUCAUGUGUAUCAUUCGAAUAUCAUACUACAUUUUUUAUGGGAAAAAAGAUAUUACAGUUGUUUACAUAAUUAUGGCAUUGAUAUACUGCAUCUUCGACAACUAUAGUCUAUACACUAUUACCAUCCAUCACAUCUAAAUCAAUCAAGCCAUUUUUGUAGAAGUGUGAACAUUGGGUUUCUAUGUAGAACCACAACAAUAACAUUUUGUUUCCAUUGAUAUAGAAACAUUAAACCAAUAUGACAUGUAUAUCUUUUACUCUUUUAGGUUGCUCUUCGUGUGUAUGUAUAUGAUCAUAGUUUCUGAACUUCCUCGUUCUCUCGCAGUUUAUUUUGUUUCUCGUCUUGUACCUUUUGGAGAAAAAGAUUGAAUCAAUGGCUGGAAAGCCACUUUUGGAGAAAAAAAAACCUGGAAUGCCACCCUUCUUUUUUUGUUUUAUCAGAUGAAUUAAAUUUAAAGAGAUUUAAAUCCAUAAUUAUGAAAAGACGAAAAAACCAAAGCAAAUAUCCAACGUUAUAACCGUUUCGAUUAAUCCGAUCCAAGCCCAACAGAGUAACUGAUUAUUUCGAUCGAAAGCCCAUCCGACCAAGCCCAUGAGAGAGAUAACCAAAAAAACGAAACCUUUUCGUUUUUUCUCGAAAAAACCAUAACUUCUCCAAUUUCACUUCUUCUCCGAUUUCAUUCCGAUAAUCCUUCGAAAUCUUCGAUAUUUUCUCCUAUUUCUUCGAUUUCUUCUCGCUUCUCUUCGUCUCAGUCGAGUUUCGCAGUGAAUCGCACCGCCCUUUUCCAAAGCCAUUGAAAAUCUGAGAAAUUUUGGAAUGGCUCGUGUUAGAAACGCCGAAGGUGAAUAUGAAUCUACGGCGGCGCGUCCGAGAGAGCCAGUGGAUUCAAGUACCAUGGUCGAGCCUACAGAAGAAACCGGAGAGCAGAGAGAACCAGGGGAUGCUGAACCUGGAAGUGAAACCGUCGGGAUGCAAAUUGAUCUGAUAGAAGAUGCAGCAAUUGAUGCUUCCGAGAGCCAACCUGCAAAAGAAACCGUCGAGUUGGAAAGAGUAACGACAGAAGGAGAGACCGAGGAUUCCGAUAGUCAACCUGCAAAUGAGAGUCUGAUAGAACCUACAAUUGCUCAGGUAUAUACAUUAGUUUGAGAAUGGAUUAAUGGUAUUCAAGGUACAACUAGUUCAACUAGUGAAUUAGGUUGUCUUUGAAUAUGAGUAUAUAUAAUUUUGAUGCUAGUUCUUGGUAUAAUUGAAGCGGAGAAUAUAUAGGUUUGAAUUUAUGUGUCUUGAUACAACUAGUUCAACUUAUCCCGAUUAUAUACUUGUUUGAAUUGUGUGUUUUGAGACAAGUAGUUCAACAACUUAAACUCAACGAUUAUGUUUUGAAUAUGCAGGAUACAUAUGAGGAAGAGGAUGAUGUUGCUGGUAAUGCUAGUGAAGAGGAUGAGCAUGGUGAUGUUGGUACUGGUAAAGAUGAUAUAGAGGCUGAAGAGGAUGUUGGUAUAGAGGAGGAGGCUGCUGCUAAAGAUGGUAUAGAGGAGGAGGUUGCUGAAGCUAGUAAGGACGUUGCUGGUAUAACAGCUGAUGAUGAUUAUGAUAAUGAUGAUGAUGAAGAUGAUUCCCAGCCACUUCCGCCAGAGAAGAUGUGCUUAGAUAGUUCAGAAUACACCAAAGGGUGUAAAAUAGGAACUAGGUGUAAAGUGACUGAGACAGUGAACUUGAUAGAGAAAGAGUUUAAAGACGAGGCAAUAUGGUUCAGAAGUCACUCUCAGUUCAAGCAUGUAUUCCACAUGCCUAGGGAGCCAAACCACAUGACUCAAGGCAUGUGGAUGCUUAUGCUGCGCACAGUUGACACAGAUCUUGAGAGGGAGUGUUGGUUUGUGGUUAAUGGAGUACCUAUUAGGUAUUCCAUCAAAGAGCAUGCGUUGCUAACUGGGUUUAAUUGCAAGGAAUACCCGGAGAAGCAUGAGGAAAUGGGGAAUUUGAGGUUUGUGAAGAGAAUCUUCAAAAGGACUGAGAAGAUAAAGGCAUCUGAUGUAUUAGCUAAGUUGAAGGGAAAGAAGAGUUGGAAAGGAGCUGAUAAGAAGAAGUUAGUAGUCUUGUAUUUCUUAUGCAAGAUACUAAAAGCAAGCUCAAAAAGUGAUGGAAACAUAGAAUCCUUUCUCUUAAGGAUUGUUGAUGAUUUGGAUGCAUGUGAGACAUAUCCAUGGGGCAGGUAUUCAUUCUCAGAAUGUAUGAAAGGGAUCCGGAAUAUGAUGAAGAAUUUGAAUGGGUCUGUCAAACCUAAAGCUCAACCUAGCUUUAGUGGAUUCAUUAUACCUUUGGAGGUAAUCCUUUGUUUUUGAUGUCUGAGUAUUUGAAGUUGUAUAUAUUGUUUUAUGAUAUUAACUGUGUGUGUUUUUUUGUAGAUUCUGGCUUAUGAGGCUAUUCCACAUCUUGGACUGAAAUAUAGAGUACCUGUACGUGCAGCAAAUGACUGUCCAAGGAUGUGCAAGCACAAGUUUAAAGAAUCUGCCAUGAAAGGUAUCCCUUUGGAAGAAAUAUAUCAAGAGCUUGGGACUAGCAAGGUUAGAGUUUCUGUCUUCAUUUGAUUAUUUGGUUUGUGUCAUGUAUUUGACAAAGAGUCUAAGUUAAAUGUAUGUGUGUGUAUGCACAGGAUAUUGACAGCAUAUUGGUACCAGACCAAUAUGAAAAAUCUCUGUUGGCUGGAAUCAUUGAAGAUAAUGUUGAUGAUGGCCUAGGGCAGAUUGAUAUCAUUGUUGACAGUUGGAGAGAGCGUCUAGUAGAAAAGAAGAAAAAGAUAUGGUGGGAAGGAAUGUACCAGCUGGACCAGGCGUCCCGAGAGAUUGGUAAUAAGUUUCUUGAGAAUGAAGACCCUGAGCAACAAGCCCCUGAGCAAGAAGUCCCUGAGAAAGAGAGUUCUGAUAUUGCUAAAGUUGUUGCAUCUCUUGCCUCACUAACAGAGGUGGUGAACAAUGGCUUUCAUGCCAUUGAGGAGAAGUUUAGGGAUAUGGAGAUUAGAGUGAAGACUCUUGAAGUGUCUGUGGCAGCUCAGGGAUAUCAUAGUCCGGUGUUUCCGCCAUAUGGGUCGCCUCUGGAAACACAAUAUGGGACAAGAACUGAUUUUGAGGGUGGGCAGAUGAGUCAAACCAUGGAAUUGGUUUUGUAUAAUCCCAUUUCUCCAACUGUUCCAGAACAAGGUGAGUGUAGAAGUUUCUUGGUUAUUUAUUGAACUCUUAAAGUGGACUAAUAAACUGUUUUCUUUGUACAUUGUAUGAAGGUGAUGAGGAGGAGGAAAAGAAUGAGGAGGAGAAAAAGAAUGAGGAAGAGAUGAAAGGAAAAGAGAAGAAGAAGGGCAAGAAGACAAAGAGGAUGUUGCAGCAAGAGGGUGGACCUGUAAUAGCAACCGGACAAAAGCGAACAAGGGCAGCUUCCCAACAUAUUAAGACACCAUUUGUGGAAGUGCAGCCGAAGAGAAGGAGAAAGAAGUAAGAACUAUGGUUGAUGUGUGCUGGUGGUAUAGGAAAAAACUAAAAAAUCUUUUGGACAUGAUUAUUUGUGUUUUGAACAAGUAGGAACUAUUGUUGAUGUUAUUUUGGUUGUACCUGGAGUUAGUACUUGUUAUUUUGGUUAAUUUUAGAUUUCCUACUUUUGGGUACAACUGUGUUCAGUCGGUACAACUGGUGAAGGCAGUACAACUGGUCAAGUCGGUACAACUUCGUGGUACAACUAUGUCAAAGCAAAGGCAACUUUUGAAAUAAAAUUGGUCAAAUACAUGUUAAACAUUUAGAAAUAAAACUAGGUCAAAUACUUGUGGUACAACUUUUAGAAAUAAAACUAGGUCAAAUAUUUGACAUUUACAACUAGACGGUACAACUGGUCAAGACGGUACAACUUUGUGGUACAACUAUGUCAAAGCAAAGGCAUAAAUACUUGUUAAACAUUUAGAAAUAAAACUAGGUUACUAGUUCAAACUUAAGAAACUAAUAGGAAAUAAAGGAGAUUAGUCUACAUAGGGUUAUUACAAACAUAAGAAGUCUACAAAGAUUUCUUAGAGGAAUACAUAAAUACAUAAGUGGUUAUUACUACCACUUAGAUAGCAACUCCUUCAGCCUACCAAUCUCAGUUUCUUUCUCCUCCAAACGCUUCUGAAGAUCAUCGACUUGAGCACGCAUAAUUCGAACAGACUCGCGAAGGGACUCCAACAUAGGAUUUUGGUAAGCGUGGUGGAUUGAUUCUUUCUGGGUUUCAAAUUUGUUAUGGACGACAGUAAACUCCUCAUUAACCGCAUCAUCCCACCACUUUUGAAGGUGUUCUCCACCAUCCUAAGCAUAAGCAUCAUUCAUCAAUCAUAAGAAAAACGAAUUCAUCAUCAACAAUACAAAAAAAUUCAUCAUACCUCAAAAUUUGGACAUUUGUAUUCCUUUCUUCCUUGAUUAUUGCCAGUGGUACACACAACAAGCUUAACGUAGGUUCCACAGAAACAAUAUCUCGGAAUACCCCAAUUACCGUCAGCUCUUGCCCAACUCAUAUCCUCACUCGGCUCCGAUUCGGAGCUUUGAGUAUAACUGAUUGGCAUUCUCACUGCAACUCCUCAAGAAGAAUCAGAAAUUUAAAAACCAUAGAUAUAAAUCCGAAUCUAGGAUAUACAAAUCAAAAACGGAGAACCCCAAAUAAGAAAACCGUAGAUCCAAAUCCGAAUCUACAAACCCAAACCCAAUCAAAAACGGAGAACCCCAAAUAAGAAAACCCUAGAUCCAAAUCCGAAUCGACAAACCCAAACCCUAGAUCUAGGAAUUAGAAAGCACCAACCUUGAGAGAUAGGAGUCGUUCGCCGAAAUCUCUCCUCUCGCCGUCGGGAUCUCCGCUCUCGCUCGCCGGAAUUUUACUUCUCUACUUUUUUGGGUUUCGCAAAUGAGAGAGAGAGAAACUAGGUAAGAGAGGGAGACAGAGCUUAUAAUAAAACCCUAGAUCUAUCGAUCUAUCUUCCUUUUCCUUUUAAAAGAAUAUCUAAAAACAAAAAAUACUUUUUAAAAUAAACAAAAAAUACUUUUUAAAAUAAACAGUUGUACUUUGGCGGCUGUACUUGUUUAAUAGUAUUAAAUAUGAGGGACCCAUGACUGAAUAUACUCAUAGUUGUCCAGUUGUACUAGGAGCAACAUAGUUGGACUUUUAACACUUUUUCUUGUUUUCAGUUGGACUAGUAUUUAAAUAACUAAUUAUAAGUUGGACAAAUGAUUAUUCUUAAUUAUUUGGCAUAUCCAAGGGUUACAUAAUAUUAUAUUUACCAAAUCAUUUGUCCAACUUCUUUCACUAUGAUUUAGGUUAUCUUAUAGCAAGUAUCCCUUAUACUAUAAGGGGUUGUUUGUGUGAGAACAUCAUUUUCCAUAGAUUUUUUUAAAAGUUGUAUUCAAAUGUUUAAAUUUUCUUUAAAAGUUAAUUCUAUUAUGAUUAUAUUAUAGAAUUAUUAUUUUAUUUCUUUUUUUUUUAAAAUAUGUUGUUUUAUAAUACUAUCGUAGCUGUACAAGUUGAACCAGUUGAAUAGUUAAAGCUAAACUUAUGGACGCAUACUUGUAAUAGUUGAACUCAGUAUAUAAACGAAUAGAAAUACAACUUAAAACAAACAGACAUGUUCUUAGCUUAACUCAGUUGAACCAGCUGAAUUGUUAAUGCACAAACGAGACACAGACAUGUUCUUAGUUGAACCCAGUUGAACCAGCUGAAUUGUUAAUGCACAUGCGAGAAAUACAAGUAAAACACAGAAACUCAAGUUAACCAUUCUCAUCAUUGGGAGGGGGCUGCAACCAACUCUCCAAGUUAAUGCCAGGCUGUGCCUUGUUUUGGGUCCUCUUUCGUCGCUUUUCCCCGGUGGAUGGAAACCGGGUUUCUUGAUUUCUACCUUUCUUUGGUUUGUAAUCCGGCGGUUUUGCGAUCUUCUCCUCGUAGUCAGCUGGGAAAGUCCAUUGAGACUCAUGCGGCACAACGUAAAUCGUUUUGUAAUAUGCCAAUGCCCACGUCUCGAUCAAGUAAUAUUUCGAACAAAGACCAUAUAUGCUUACUUCCGUGGUUCUCCAUUCAUUCCGACAAUGCUUAAUGGCUGCGGCUAUACCAUGGAUGCAAGGGUACUUGUCUAUAUCAAAACACCUACAAGUACAAGAUUUCAUAUCCAAGUCCACCAAAUAUGUUAAACCAUCAACUCCAAUUACGCUAUAUUCGCGUCGGUAGCUGUUAAGCUCAGUGACCGUCAACUUCGCAGCUAUAGGACAUCGGAUAUGUAAUAUAUUCUCCACAACAGGCACCACCUGCGUCGUGUUCGAUGCAUUGGCAGAAUCUUUUCGAUGUUUGUUGAACCAUUCGGAAAACUUCUCCAAUAUCGCAUCAAUCAUCGGUAAUAGAUGGUACUUCCUUACUUCCUUAAACACAGCAUUCAUUGACUCUGCGGAGUUGCUAGUAUCUAUGUUGUACUUGUCUCCCUCAGCAUGACUCCUAGCCCAUUGUUCAACCCCAAUAGAAUUAUCUAGAUAUUCAGCAGCUCUAGGAUACCUUCUCCUAAAAUCACCAUACUGAAUGUUGAACUCGGUCUUAGUAUAUACAUGAGCGCAUUCCUUGAAUUUAUCAACACCUACGUCCUUGUCCCCAGUCAACUUUGGCCUAAGGUUUUGGGACAAAUGCCAUAUACAAUGACCAUGUGAUGCGUUUGGAAACACGUCCAUCACUCCCUUGAUGAUGCUUUGAUGUCUAUCGCUUAUGAAAACCAAACCAUCUUCAUCCGGUACUACCUUUCUCAACAUUCUAAAAAACCAAUUCCAACUAGCAUGAUUCUCACUAUCAAUUACACCAAACGCAAUGGGGUAAUGGUGACGAUUAGGAUCCUGAGCUGUUGCAAUAACUAACAUCCCACCAUAUACAGUUUUCAGAAAAGUUGCAUCAAUCACUAACACUUUCCUCAUUGCCUUAAACCCUUCAAUGCUUGCUCCUAAAGCGAUAAAUAAGUACUUGAACCUCUCUUCUGCAUCCAAUUCCACUUCCGUUACUGUCCCAGGAUUCACCUCUCUCAACAUGUGGAGAUAAGCAUACAACAUCGUGUAGCAAACUUCAGGGUUCCCACGCAUAUCACUAACAUGUUGUUUUUUCCCUCUCAAGGCGGUGGAGUAUGAACAAUCCAAACCAAGUCUUCCUUUAACAAGAGUCAUGAUGGUUUUAGGAUCCGGUGUUUUCAAUUGACCACGGAAGUCCUCAUGCAAAACACUUGCUACUAAUCGUGGUGUGCCUUUUUGUUUAAAAUAUCUAGUACUCUCCUCACACCUAGAGCAUGUAUGCAUGUUUUUGUGAACUCUUACACUCCAAAAAUCUGAUUUCUUUAUUCUAGCAACUCUUAAAUACCAUUCACAACCCAUGGAAGCUUGACUGCAUUCAAUCAUAAGUCGCACCGGGUCCGACUUCACACAUCUCACACCAAACAACUCGGCCUUUGCAGCUCUAUUAACCAAAUCCCAUACAGCCUCCUUAGAAGGAAAUUCUUGAUCUUUUUCCAAAACCAUACCAUCUUCCCAUUCUUUAACUGUUUCCUCACUUGGUUGUACAGGCCGUGAAAGCUCAACAUAUUCAUGCCUAACAUCAUUCUCACAAUCUUCAUUUACACCAUUCUCUAUCAUGAGCUAUUCAAUAAUCGGUUCAUUACCUAUAGCAGGCUCUUUCUCUUGUUCUGAUCCUUCCCCCCAUCUAAAAGUACUCAAGUUUCCUUGAUUAUUUACAUCAUCAGUCCUUACAUCAUCAGUCCUUACAUCAUUGGCAGCCACUUCCCCAUAAUUCAAACCGCAUGAACUUCUUCUCUCUACUCUUGGUACUAGCUCUACCAUCUGAUUACUUUCAAGAUUGCAUAACUCCACAUGCAAAAUUGGUCUAAAUCCCUCUUUAUCCAAUGAUGUUAAGAAUAUACAAACAUCCUCAUCAUCUAAAAUAUAAGACUCUCUCCUUCCUUUACAUAUCAUGUAACUCAAUUUCAUCUUCCUUCUCGCUCCGUCUAUAGCAAUCUUCUUACAGAUCUUAUCUACCAACACUGGAUAUGUUAUUCUCUCCAAAGAUGUUGUCUUAAACAUUAUAGCAUAUAGUGAAUUGUUGCAAUUCCACUCAUGCUCUUCUGAAUAGUACCCUCCAUAGUCAAAAUAUAUGUUUGUCUGGAUCUUCUUCUUCAUCGCACUGCAGAUAGAACAAAAUAAAUCACUAAUUUCGAUACAGCACUUGUAACAGGCAGUGUUCUAAAAAGCGGUCUAGGCGGUCGCCUAGGCCCCGACUAGGCGCUAGGCUCUCAUGCGACGCCUAGAUAACCGUCUUGACCGCCUAAAGUUACAUAGAUCUUGUUUAAUGUAUUUUUUUCAAUUUUAAUUAGAGUUUUAUUUAUAUAUAUAGUUAUACAUAUUUAUAUAUUGUUUAAUAUAAAUAUAAAUAAAUGUUUUAUCUAGUUUUGUUUAUAAUUUCAUAAUUUUUAGUUUUAUAUAGACAUUUUAUAUAACUUUUAUAUAUAAUAUCAUAUUUAUAAUAUUUUAUGUUAUAAACGUCUAAACCGCCUAAAAAAUCGCCUAGGCCCCGAUUAGACGUUCUAGGCGCUAGGCACUGGGUCACCGCCCGCUUAGCGCCUAGCGCUUUCUUGAACACUGGUAACAGGUAUACCAAUUGUACCAGUCGAACUACACUAUCAUAUAUGUACCAGUUGUAUUAUUCAAUUUCAGUUGUACCAUUACCUUCUGCAACAAACGAUACAAAGGAGGAGCUACAUUCUAAUUUCCCUCAGAUUCAACACGAUUGAACUCAUAAAUCCUACUAUCUAGAGAUUUCUACAUUACACCUACCAUUGCCAAACUCUACCAUUGCAAAUCAAAAUACUCUUCUAAGAACUUACUUGCUUCAAUCGAGAUCCAAGAAUGGAGGGGAAGAAAGAAGACGCUGCGACGGAGGAGGCGACAGCCGGCGAAAUGGAUGACUUAACCAAAACAGAGGAGGAGCGUUUCGGGAGUAGACGAGCUGCAAAUCUGUCGACCUCUCGAUCUUUCGAUCCAACAAUGGCGGAGAUAAGUAAAGCUGUUGCGCCGGAAAUGUCAGUCACUCUCUCGAGCUCUCAGCUCCGGGGAGAAUCUUCAACAAUGUCGGGGGAAGGGAAGACACAGAUUCGAGAUUGGAUCGAGAAUUCAUUUCUCGAUUUCAAUUAUUUUUUAUUUUUUCUUUCUUUUUCAAUUCAUUAAGGGUAAAGGAGUAUUAUCCUAUUGAGAGGUGGCAUUGAGACUCUAAAAUGGCAGUCGUGAUUAACAUUUCCGGUUCAGUGGCAAACUAGCCUGUGUCUCGAUAUAUUGUCUGUAAAUUUUUAUUUUUCUUUAAAAUUAACGGCUAGUUCAUCUCAGCCGUUGGAUUAAAGCCACGUGUUCCUAAUCGAAAGUUGCCUUCUACUCAACGGAUAUCAUUGUUUUUCCUCCAUGUGUGUAACUUAUUCAAAUUCUUUGGGUUUUUUCUUUCUUUUUUUCUAUUUUGGGGAAGACAACUAAUUUUUUUUUUUGAAAAUUAUACUGUUAAUAUACAUUUCUAUAAAAACAAAAAAAAAAUACUUCUAUUUAAAAGAUUGAAAUACGUCUCCUUUGACCAAAUGACGAUGAGUCGUUUUAUAUUAAUCUCAAGUUAAAUGACUUUCUUUUUCAAGCAAGAAAUCUCACACAAAGUUUAGAUCUUCAUGUGUAUCAUUCGAAUAUCAUACUACAUUUUUUAUGGGAAAAAAGAUAUUACAGUUGUUUACAUAAUUAUGGCAUUGAUAUACUGCAUCUUCGACAACUAUAGUCUAUACACUAUUACCAUCCAUCACAUCUAAAUCAAUCAAGCCAUUUUUGUAGAAGUGUGAACAUUGGGUUUCUAUGUAGAACCACAACAAUAACAUUUUGUUUCCAUUGAUAUAGAAACAUUAAACCAAUAUGACAUGUAUAUCUUUUACUCUUUUAGGUUGCUCUUCGUGUGUAUGUAUAUGAUCAUAGUUUCUGAACUUCCUCGUUCUCUCGCAGUUUAUUUUGUUUCUCGUCUUGUACCUACGAUUUCUUUCACAGAUUAAGAGUCCUAAAGUUCCAAUGAAGGUUGAAUGUUUGUCCCAUAUAACCAACUUGAUCACAAAUGUUAACAGUUUGUUCACAAUGCCAAGAACGGUAAGCAAGAGAUGGCAAAAACACUGCUAAACUGUAGCAAUCAGGCUUAUCACUUAUGUCAUGCCUUAGUUUGUGUAACUCUCCCAUUAUGAGCAACUCAAAGUGGGAAUCACCGGUCGUGCUAUUCACUGCAACGAAUAAGCCUCAAUGUUUAACCCGAUUUUCGUAACCACGUGCUUGAUGUAGUCAUGUAGACAAGAUCAAUAGACAUACUCACAAGAUACGCUAUAGCCCAGUUAUAUGCUGUGACUGUAAACUGGUAAUCAGCUUCCUCCUAAAAUGAUAUCAAGAGAGAUCCAUGUUUUAAGAGAUGGCCAAGGCUUGUUUAAGCCGUACGCGAUCUAGAAUCAUCAUCCAAUGGAUGGAAAACAGAACAAAAGGGAGGUCAGGUCAUUCUAGCGAUGCAAUUACGAAUAUCAGAAUCAGAUUCAAAAUCGAUUCGAAACCAAAUCUGUUGAGAGAAAACGACGAAGAAAGCAAAAUUCCAAUCAUUUUAUCCGAAGCAAAAAUCGAUUUCAAACCAAAAUUUACUGAAUCAUGACGACGAAUAAAUCAAAAUAGAUUUCCAACCAUCUCUACUGAUAGAAGCGAUUCACGACGAAUUAGAAUGAAAAUUUCCAAUCAUGCAUCGACAAACAGUACAAAGCAAACUUGAUUUUGAGAAAAACAAACCUGAGACUCAGAGGAAUCGUAAUCGGAGAGACGAAGAAGCUGGUGAGAGAGCGAAAUGGGGCUUAAAUCGGCAGACAUUGGAUCUGAUCGGAGGAAUGGGAGAAAUAAGAACUGUGUCAUCAUCUUUUAGAAUUAACUUUCAAAUUUUCAAUUGCAGAUAACCUUUUCCAUUUUCGGCUUUCUGUUUUUUUUUUUUUUUCUUUUCUUUUUCUAAUGCAGAAGCCUGUUAACAGGUCGGCCCAAUACAUACCAUCAAACUAAAGCCCAUUAGGCUUGCGGCACAAAAAUGUACUGGACUUUUGUAACAAACAACUAGAUUUUAACCCGCGGUACACCGUGGGAUGAUUUAAUUUUAAAGUUAGUAUAAAAAUAUUUUGUAAAUUGUAUCUCCUUAUAACAUAUUUAUUUAUAUUAUAGUUUACAAUUGUUAUUAAGUAACGGUAUACCACGAGUCCACGAGAUAAUUAUUAAUAAACUGAGGAUUUAACCCGUAUUAAAGCGGUUUAUAAAUAUUGAUUCAAAUUCGUCCGCCAUAUAAAUCAUUUCCGAAAUAUAACUCGUUCCGUAAUUUCUUAACCCGUCAUGUGAUUUGUAUUAAAAAAAAUAAGGAUUAAAUCCGUAUUGAAGCGGCGGAUUAAUGAUAUUUUAAUCUUUUUAUUAUUGCUGAUACAAAAACCCGUCCCGCCAAACCCAUCCCGCCAAAAAACUCAUUUAUUUUAUUAAUGUUCUUAUUUAUGAUAUGAUUCUGAAUCAUUGUCUAAAUAUUUUAAUCGAUGUAGAACGUUGAACACACAUUUUCGUCAAUUGGAUAUUAUAUGUCCGUUUUUAAAAUUUCGAAUCACAGUAUAUGCAGAAAAAAAAUGAUUUUUUUUUUCUACUUUAUGUAUUAUAUGAUUAUUCAAAACAGUUAAAAACAAAUGAAACAAAGAUGAUAGGAGAAUCAUAAUUAUAAAUCUUAAUCAAAUCUUCUAAAAAUCUAAAUUAUUAAAUAUGGAAUAUUCGGUGUAUGAGUUGGGUUAAAUAUAACCUGACCCAACAAAUUUUUUGUGAAGAAAUUUUUAAAAUGGGUCGGAUAUCUGAUAUACCCGAAAGUUUUUUACCCACCCGUCACAAAAAGUGCUGCGAUUAUACUAGUAUAGAUGUUUAGUAGAUUUGCAUUAAAUGAUUAGAAUUUAAUUGAUAUAUUUUAAAUCUACAUAUACAUUUUUACAGGGGAUUUUUGCAAAAAGUCUUUUGGAUCCGGGUUUUACCCGGGUUUAACUCUAUUCGGAUCUAGAAUAAGAAAUUUAAGGAAGUUUGUAAUAAAAACGACAUUAAUUCUUAAUUAACACCUAAAUUAGAAAUAUAUAUAAUAUAUCUAAACUAACCAUAUUUGUUAUUUACCUUAACUACUUCUAACCAUAAUUAUUUAACUAUUUAUUUCUAUAUAGAAAGAAUAUGUGAUUAAAAUAAAUAUUUUGUAAAAGAUUGAUUUGGGGAAAAAUUGUUAUUACGAAAAUAAUUUGUUUUGUUAUAAAAAUUAAUAUUUGUUAUUUGUAAUUAAAUUACAUAAAUAGUAAUAAUAAUUUGUCUACACCAUCAAAUGAAAAUAGUUAGUUAUUUAUUUUUUUAUUUAAUAUUACGUCAUUUUUAAAAAAUAAAUUCAACAAUAUAAUGUCAAUGAGUUUAAUUCUAAAGAUUUGAAAAUAUUAAAAAGAUACUAACCAAACAUUAUCUAUCCUAAUUUGUUUCUAACAAUUUCGACACAAAUCUUUCGAAAAUUUAAUGUGAUCACAGUUUGUUACUAAAAUCUCGAUUAUAUGCCUAAAAUCUCGAGAAGAUCUUCCUUUAAAUCCGCAAAUUAUAAUUUUUGAAUUAAAUAAACUAACAAUACGAAUAUUCCUAAUAUAUUCGAGUACUAAUAAUCCUUAUUAUAGUAUAUUCUUUAUCUAAAUACUAAAUCUUUUAUUUUUAAUUCUAAUCAAAAUUUAUGAAAUCGGAAAUCAAUCAUGAUUUCUUAAACAUCCUUAAAUUUCGAAAUAAUCAACAAUUCGAAUAUGCUGAAAAAUCAUAACGAAAUAUCUUUAUUUACUUAAAUGUUUUAGUAAUCGUUAUAGCAAAAAAAUCAAUUCCAGCGCUAUUGGUUCUUUAAACUUUUUGAUUUACAUAAAUAUUUUGUAUUCCAUAAUUAACUCAUUAAAUUCUUUGAUUUAAAUAACUACAAUGUGAAAAUUAGUAUAUGUAAUAAAUAUAACAUAUAAUAUUUACGAGAUUUUCAUAUACUUGAUCCCCAACCCAAAUUGGCGAAUAUAUUAUUUCUCAUAAAAUAUCUUUAAAAGAUUUUUUUUUGUUUCGUUUAGAUAUUAUUCAACAAACUUUCUAAAACAAAUGGAAAUAUCUUUAAUUAGCUUUCCUCAUUCAUAAAUCCCACCAUGCAUAUAGACGUUAUUCAGUUGAUAAUACAAAAUCAAAUAUAUUAGGAAUCAAAUAUUUAAUUUUCAAAUAUUUGCAAAAUUGUUUUAAUUUUUAGAUCAAACCUAAACUUCUCGAGUACUUUUCAUUCAUCUAUAUAAAAAAGAUCUUUUCAACCAUUGAUCCACAAUACUAAACGUUUUCGUAAUAGAGAUUUAUAUAGCUUCUUUUAAACAAUGUUCUUAGUACAUUUUAUAUUUCACGUUUGUUUUCUUUUAAAAAAUUAAUUGUCACCUACUUUUCUUAUGUUGCAGCUUUCGAUUUUAAGAUCUUUGGAAAUUAUGGACAUCAUCAACUCCGUUUCCAAAGAAACUAUCAAAUAAGGUAUGCAUUAAAAGGUUAGUUAGUCCUUCUUCUUAUCUUCAGAUACAAAUUUUUUUUAAUGUCCAGUAUUUUUUUACAUUUUCAUAAUUUCAUGUUUCCUCAUAAUGUUUGUAAAUGAUUUUCUUUUAUAGGCUAACAUAACAAGUCCAUUCUAUUAAAAUCAUUUUCUUUAACGUAAAAAGGAAAUGAAUUUGUUAAUAAAAUAAAGUUCUUAUUCUUAAUUUUCAUUAUUCUAAUGUUAUGUAUUUUAAUUGUUUUUAUGAUAUAUACUUUUACUAAAACCUGUGGAUCCGAGUUUUGGUUGGUAAGUGUAAUUUUUCUAAUCUUUUAAAACCUUUUACAACAAUUACAUGUUUUAUAUGGUUAACAAUCACAUCAUAUAUAUUUUAUUUUCUUAUCCAAUGUAUUUCAUGUUUAAUGUUUUCUAAUAUUUUUUAUUGAAACUUUUAAAUAGUUUCAAAUUAUUAUAAACAUUUAAACUUUAUUAAAAGUAAAAUAUUAUAAUUAUUUAAACAUUUAAAAAGUUUAUUUUUAUAAAACGUUUUAAAUAUUUAUAAUAUUAGGAAUUUUAUAAAGUUUCAAAUAUUAAAUAGUUGAAUUUUAUAAUAAUUUAUAAGAAAUUUAAACAUUAUAAAUAUUUACAAAAGAUAUUAAUACGGGACGGUAUAUUACGGGUGAAAUCCUAGAUAUAACAAUCAAAAUACUAUUAUGAAUUUUGGGUCGAUAUUAAAUGAAGUUUCGAAUAUUAGAAAUAUUUGAAUUUUAUUGGAAAAUGACAAAAUGAUGUAGAUUUCACGGGACAGAGUUAUAUGGUCGGACGGAUUUGGGGUCGAUAUUAAUACAGGUGAAAUCCUAUAAUUAACAAUCAAAAUAUAACUAUACAAUCUUAAACACUAAACAAAACUAAACAAAUAAUAUUAACAAAACAAAUAAAACUUCAAAUUUUAAAUCUUUAGUUAUAAAAUAUCGUGUGUACCAUACAUUUAAAUCAAACAAAAUAAUAGCAUAUAUCUAUAGAUCAUCUUAAAAAAAAAUUAAUUUUAUUAUUAUUUAAUAAAAUUAUAGACCCGCGGUGUACCGCGGGUUAAUAUCUAGUCUGUAGUAAAGAAACAAAACAAAACUUUAUACCCACUGUUAUGUACAUUCAAAUUCAAUAUCAUAUGAUUUUGAACUCUGCCUCAUAAAGUUGUUAGUUGGUUAUAACUUUAGAGCAUCUAGGUCAGCAUAAAAAAUGGAGGUCAUACCACAACAAAUUUAAAUCCGUCCGACUAAUUUCAUGAGUGAGUCGGUCUGACCGAAGUUAUAUAUAUUUUGAGAUUUUAAACAAACUACAAAAAAUAAAAUAAAAAUCAAAAACAUCACUAAGAAAUUUGUUAAAUUAAACCAUUAUUAGUAUCAUGAGAUUCAUAGAAUAAUUUACAGGAAAAUGAUCCUAUCAGACGGGGAGAGACCCGGAGGACUGAUACGGAGGCGCUUGUGACUCCAACACCAGCACAGUGGAAGCCGUAUUACUAUACAUGCGGUGAGACGGGUCAUUAUCCGAGGUGGUGUCGUUUCUACCGCCCAUACGGGAAUCCGAUGAUCCGAUGUACAUUAUGUUUUGAGAUUGGGCACUACGCUAGUUCAUGCCCAAUUGUCAUAGGUAGAAUAAUAUACUAACAUACUUAUAUAUUUUAAAUUAUUAUGAACUUAACGCUAUCAUAUAUAGUAGUAGAUUAAAUUUUAGUCAGGUCCCCAUCUGAGUAGAAAACGGGGUACCAUAAGAUUCGACUGCCAGAAAUCUUUGUCUUUUCUCUUUGAUUUUUCAACUCCAUUGACAAAAUUCGAUAUCCAAAGAACAAAACGAAAAAGAAAAGAAAGGAUAAGGUGUAAUCCCGUUUUUUGUCUUGUUGAAUCACCAAAACCAAUUUUCAUUGGUUGGGUUAACACCAAAAAGUAACUAAACAAGGGUAAGAUUUGGACGUGGUAGCCUCCAAGUGGUUCCCAGUUGCCCUCGUUUAUUAUCUAAGAGUUUUAGUACAAACAUCAUUGUCAACGUUCAUUAUCUAUUUACUUUUUAGUUUUAAAAUGUAUAAAUAAAAUUUUUACAGUGUUUUAAAUUGACGUACCGAUACAUCAUUAUUCUUUACUAAAAUAACUAAAUUCUAAAAUGUUGCGUGUUACUAUGCUGUUUAGUUAUUACUCACAUCUAUAUAUACAUUUUUGGAUCACAAUUAGCAAAUAAAUCCUGAAAUUGAGAAGUAUUUACAAUGACAUGCCAUUAGCAUUAAUUAUUUAAAUUUAUUUUAUUUAAGUAAAGAUUUUGAAAUCAAAUAUGUUCUCAACAAUUUACCAAAAAUCUCUACUCAAUCUUUUUAAAAAUCUCGACUUAGUUAACUUCUGAUUUUAUCUACAAAAAAAAAAAUAAUAAUUGUAACGAGUGAUGUAAAAAUCGGGAAUGUUGAUACUACAAUUUCUUCUACUUUUUUUUUUUUUAUAUAAUGAAAAUUAUUUUUUAGGAAUAUUUUCUUAAAACUCUAAACAAAACAAAGGGUUUCAAAAGAUAGCUUCUCUUUUGGCGGGUCGACCCGCAAACCCGCAACUCUCUACGGGCUUAUCCGCAUGAACCUGCGACCCGUAGUGGAUAAAAAUAUUAUUCAAAAAAAUAACAAAUGAUGUUUAAUUUUACGGGACGGGGUUAUAUGGUGCAACGGGUUUAGAUCAAUAUUAAUAUUAAACAAUAUACUAUGGAUGAAAUCCUAGAAUUAAAAAUCAAAAUUUAAUUAUAAAAUCAGAAACACUAAACAAAAUAAACAAUAUUAACAAAACAAAUACAACUUAAAAUUUUGCAAAAUAAUUUUUUAGUUAUAAAAAAAUCGACCCGCGGUGUACCGCGGGUAAAAUCUAAAUUUGGAAGUUUAAGGAAGGAAAUUUUUUUUAAAAAAAAUAAUAGCUCCGCGGUGUACCGCAAGAAAAAUCUUUCUCCUAAACUGAGGUAAGAAGAAGAAAAAAGCCAAAUGUCGUUUGUGUAUAUAUAGAUAUACCAUUUAAACCUAAAACACAAUUAAUAUACUCAAAACUAUUAAUAUAGACAUAUGGAUGGUACAUUUAUAAAAUAGGUCGAAAUAUUAUAGUAUACUCUCUAUUAAUAAACAAAAAUAAUUAUAUUUAGAUUUUUUAAAAAAUAAUUAUAACCCCGCGGUGUACCGCGGGUUCAAAUCUAGUAUACGUUAUUACUGAGUAAAUACAUGCCAUAUCAAGAGAGGAUUUAGAAACAUAAUUAACAUGAAGCACAAUAUAUUUAAUACAUAAAUUCUUAAUAUAAAGUUUUAUAUGAACCUUUAUUAAAAACAUGUAAAUGAAACAAAUUUCUUUGAUAUAUUAAUCAUUUGUUAUAGUAUGUUGUAUUAAAAUAAUUAUCUUAAACAAUAACAAAAAGAGUUAAGAGGGAAAAAAAUACUAAUAUAAAAAAUAUUAUUAUUUGAAAAUAGUGAAAAUAGAGAGUAAUAACCAAUUUGCUAUAAAAAUCAGUAGAAAACAUGGGGGAUACAUCAAACCAAUUGUUUCAUCAGCAUUCACCACUACAAAUUACAUAAGAAACUUUAAAAUUAUUAAAUUUUGUAUGGGACACGUGCAUGAGUAGUGAUACAUCUACGUCCGCCCCUAUGCCAGACCAUGGUAUCAUGCACUCAUAUAGUUGGUGACAAAAUGCAACAUUCACAUUUCUCUAAGGAAAAAUCCGAAACAAAUCACUACAUCAAUCUUAUUAUUUAUGCAUAAGACUGAUGACAACUAGACAAUUUUUUUUUUUUUUAAGUAGACAAUUUUACUAUCAUAUGUGUUGGAUUCCCGGUAUCUAAACUAGUAAAAAUUAUAUUAUAAACAUCACUCUUAAUUUAUCUUUUUACGAAGAGAUUAUGAGUUUUCAUUCUUUGAUCCAUGAUUUAUUUUUGUUCACGACCAAUAUUUGAUAAUAUAACCAUUUCUCAAAUAGAGAUGGGAACAAGAACUCAAAGUUCCUCUCCAAAUUUUUUUUGAAACCAAAUGAACUAUAUAUUACCGAUUGGUAAAUACCACUCACUCUUAAUUAGCUACAAAACAAUUGACAAUUUAACUUUUGUUCGCAUGCACCAUGACGAAACUUUUUUUUUUUUUGAUAAGAAUGUAAAUUAAUAUUCAUUUCACAAUGAAAGUUUGAGUUACACAAUUAAGCAUAACCAAAUACAUGAUCCCAUGCCAAAAAAAGGAUAAAAAACAGUUUACACCAUCAAUGAAAGUUUGAGUUUGAGUUUACACCAUGACGAAACUUGCGAGAAUCGUAUACACAACUCUAUAAAUUUAAUUAUAUACAUAGUACAAUUUAGCUAGGCUACGUACGUACUACUUUCUCUAGGCUUCUGGCAUUUUUUCUUUACUUUUGUCGUCACCAAACGAAGAGACUUGACUGUGGUAAGAAGAAUUCUUCAGCUUUAUCUGAUAAGGGGACUAUGAUAUGUUUUAGAUAGCUAUUUCUUUUUUGGGGGGAGGGGUGGUAAAUUCUAGAUUAUCAGGUUUGGGUUCAUGAUCAUUUCAAGUGUAGGAUUAAUAUUUGAAUAACAUAUCUAUCCUCUAAUCUGUAAUUAUCUCACAUUUGAUAACACGAAGAUAUAUUCUAUGAUUUGAAAUUCUCUCUUAUAAAACACAUAGUUAAACUGAAACCCUGGAUCCAACUUUGAAACAACACGUUUUACCCAGUGAUAGUAUUAGUAACACCACAUUUGCAUAUGACCAAUGUGGUCCACGUGAUGUGGAUACAAAAUAACACAAAAUAUCUGCAUGUUAGUUAUAUUAGUCAUUGCACUUAAUAUGCGGCAUGAUGAAGAGGAUUAAAAGUCCUAAUAACUCUAAAUUUAUAACUGAGUCCCUCCCUACUCCACUUUUAUCUCUUAUAGCUUAUUGGAUUAUUGUUUUUGUAACAGAGCUACUACAAUAUUAAUUAAUGUUUAUGGAGGAGCAACUGCGUAAUAUGUCCUUUAAUGAAAUAUAUAAAAAUAAAGAAUUUUGUUAGGCGGGGAUAGAUGAAGAUUGUCUUCUAAUGAUUGCAACUUUCUGAGAAUAGUAUGUUACUGUUGAUUGUUGUACCUAGCUCUAGUUGUAAAUAAUAUCAAACUAAGUAACAAGAGCAACUUGUUUACACUAAAAAGGGACCCGAAGUAAUCCCCUCAAUCAAAAAUGUGGAUCAGUUCAUCAUCGAAGUAACGUGUUAAUUAUCGCCAUAUGCUCGCCACAACAUCGACCCCCCACCAUACCCACUCAAUAAUGUCAAUUCAGCUUUUUCGUAUUUUUAUAAAUAAUUGUUUUUUUUGAAUUUUCAACCCAUGAUUUAUAGAUACAUGAUCAUCUAUUAAUAAUUCAUCGAAUAGUUUUAUAAAAUAUUAGAUUAUUCAAAAGCAAUACGCAAACUCAAAUCGGAUCGGAUAAGACUAAAAUAAUAUCACCCGGUUUAAGUUAACUAAUUCCACAUAUUUUGAAUAGAACUAAUUUGUUGUUCAACUCUCCAAAACUGUCUUCUAUCCUUCGAUCUUAUAAUGAAUUUCAUGUUUGACGCAUGUUUGUAAUUUAUAGAUAGCCUUUGCUGUUAACUUGUUUAUACAUGUUGACAAAUUUGGAAAUUAUAUACUUUUUGUAUUUUGGGUAAAAAACUACAGUAUAUACUUAUGAAAACAUUAAUGAUAACAAAGAAACCUCAGAUCUACAGUUCCAACUUCCAACUUGUGUCUGACACGAGUUUCUAUACGAUAAGAUCAAACAUGUAUAUCAGGAGACUUUUCUAUAGAUGAACUGAUAGUAAUAAGAUUCAAAUCAGGAAAUAAACAACUUGGAAACCGAACGGGAGUUUGGGUUCUUUAAGAGAAAACUAGUUAUAGAAUAUACUUUUAGAUCAUUUUUUUAUUUUUUGACAUCCAUUACAUUACAGCUUUUUUUUAGAUUUGGUGUUUUUCAUUUUGUUAUCAGUCACAAAUAUUGUUUUUCAAAAGAUAUUGUAUCUUUUUACUCUCUUCAGAAGCACCGGACAACAACGAGCAAUGCUGACUUGUCGGGGUCAGCAAUUAUAAUUUAGUCACCGAACGAAAAUAAUUUUUAGGUUGACGCCAAAAAAACGGAAAAAAAAAAUAUCUAAGUGGGGGCUGGGGGGCAUUAUUGUUUUAUCACCAAGGAAAAGUAAACACAAUGGCCCAUUUUUACUGUAUCGAUAAAUUGAUCUCCAAAAGGACAAAAUUACCCCUCCACAAUGGGCAGCCAUUAUUGUGCAUAACACACGCAGUUUCACUAUAUAUACUUUCAUAGAGGAUCUCAACACUCUCACUAAACCAAAACCUCAAAAGCAUUAUUUGGGGAUCGUCAACUUUCUUUCAUCACCAUGGAUCCUUACAAGGUAUAUAUCUCCAUAUUCUUCUUUCUUCUUAUUUUAGGCUUAUCUUGAAUCGAUCAUUUCUUUUUUUUUUUGUCAAAAAUCUUGAAUAGAUCAUGUUUGUUUAGUUAUGCUCGUUUUUAGCUGAUUUUGAUGAGAAAAAUAAAGUUAGAUUGGAUUUAUGUUCGUAAAUCUUCGCGUUAAAAUGAUUUUUUGCUCAAAAACGACUUACUUAAUUCUAUGAUCGCCUGAACUCUAAGUCGAUGAUGUUGAUUUUUGUUUUGGCUGGCUAUCUUUUACUAAAACGUUUUGAUCUAUAAACAACCACUGCAUGAGAAAGACACGCCACAUGUGGUUUUUUCUUGUUUUUUUUCCUUAGAUUAGAAGUGAUUUUUGUUGUUUAUGUUUUUUCAUUACACACGUGCUCUAAAAUCGGACGUUCCGAUGAUUUAAUCGAUAGUUUAAACGUCCGACGGUAUAUUAUUUUAGUGAUUUUAGCCAAAUCAUCAACUAAAUGAUUUCUCAGAUAUACUGAACACCUGAGUAAUCAAAUCUUCACGUUUGAAUAAUCAAAUUUAAAUAAUCGUUUAAGUUAGAUAUAAACAUACGAUAAGUAUAUUUUAAACACUCGGUUAAUCUAUCAAUACAAUUAUUUUUUUCAUACAACACAAAAGUUCUCUCGCACACCGACGAAAUAAAACAAAAUUCUAUCAGUUCGUAUCAUUAAAAGUGUUAUGUAGAUCAAACAAGACUUGAAUAUACUUAAAAAAGUAUAACAAUCGAAUAAAUAUAUACUACUCCGACAUGUUACUGUUUUCGUCACCAAAUCUAAAGACUUCUUCGUUAAAUAAUGGUCUUUGGUCGGGAUGGACCACCUGGCGAUCCGGUCCGACCAGGAAACCGGGUUUUGAUUUGUUCGGGUUGCAUCAGAAAAUUAGGGCUUUCUACAAAUUUUGUGGAUUGUUCAUGUCGAAUCCGUUCGAUUGUUGAUUCAAUUAACCAAAUUUCACCUCCGAAUUAUGGUGAUUGCAGUAUCGUCCUUCGAGCGCGUACAACGCCCCAUUCUACACCACAAACGGUGGUACUCCAGUCUCCAACAACAUCUCUUCCCUCACCAUCGGAGAGAGAGGUAUUUGUAAUCCUGAAUUCAAAGUAUCUAACCAUAAGAAUCGGAACUGUAACCUUGUACUUGCUGGAUUUAUGGAAGAGAUGAAACUGAGAUAUAGAGUCUAAAGCUAGGAUCUUGUUAAUGGAGUCUGAUGUGUUCUUUUAAGUUAACAUGUGUUGCUUCGUAUUGAGCAGGUCCGGUUCUUCUUGAGGACUACCAUCUGAUCGAGAAGGUUGCCAAUUUCACCAGAGAGAGGAUCCCUGAGAGAGUGGUUCAUGCCAGAGGAAUCAGUGCUAAGGGUUUCUUUGAAGUCACCCAUGACAUUUCUAACCUCACUUGUGCUGAUUUUCUCAGAGCUCCUGGUGUUCAAACUCCGGUUAUUGUCCGUUUCUCCACCGUUGUCCACGAACGUGCUAGUCCUGAAACCAUGAGGGAUAUUCGUGGUUUCGCUGUCAAGUUUUACACCAGAGAGGUAUAAGAAAAGAUUUAAGUUUCCAUUUUUAAUUUAAUCAGUCUUUUAGCUUCUUUAGAAUCUGUACUGAUUUGUGUCUUGCUACUGUUUUGAUAAUUUCAGGGGAACUUUGAUCUUGUUGGGAACAACACUCCGGUGUUCUUCAUCCGUGAUGGGAUUCAGUUCCCGGAUGUUGUCCACGCGCUGAAACCAAACCCGAAAACAAACAUCCAAGAGUACUGGAGGAUUCUGGAUUACAUGUCCCACUUGCCAGAGAGUUUGCUCACAUGGUGCUGGAUGUUUGAUGAUGUUGGUAUUCCACAAGAUUACAGGCACAUGGAGGGUUUCGGUGUCCACACCUACACUCUUGUUGCCAAAUCUGGAAAAGUUCUCUUUGUGAAGUUCCACUGGAAACCAACUUGCGGGAUCAAGAAUCUGACUGAUGAAGAGGCCAAGGUUGUUGGAGGAGCCAAUCAUAGCCAUGCCACUAAGGAUCUCCACGAUGCCAUUUCAUCGGGCAACUACCCCGAGUGGAAACUUUUCAUCCAGACCAUGGAUCCUGCGGAUGAGGAUAAGUUUGACUUUGACCCACUUGAUGUGACCAAGAUCUGGCCUGAGGAUAUUUUGCCUCUGCAACCGGUUGGUCGCUUGGUUCUGAACAGGACCAUUGACAACUUCUUCAAUGAAACUGAGCAGCUCGCUUUCAACCCGGGUCUUGUGGUUCCUGGAAUCUACUACUCAGACGACAAGCUGCUCCAGUGUAGGAUAUUUGCUUAUGGUGACACUCAGAGACAUCGUCUUGGACCAAAUUAUCUGCAGCUACCAGUGAAUGCUCCCAAAUGUGCUCACCACAACAAUCACCAUGAAGGUUUUAUGAACUUCAUGCACAGAGACGAGGAGGUACGUCUUAGUACCACUUGAGCUACCAUUGUUAGUCUUUUGACUUGGAAUCAAAAUUCUUAUAGGGUGUUUGCUUUUUACAGAUCAAUUACUACCCCUCAAAGUUUGAUCCUGUCCGCUGUGCCGAGAAAGCUCCUAUCCCUACAAACUCCUACACUGGAAUCCGAACAAAGGUCUGAUUCAUGACAUGCGUUCUUUAAAUCUUGAAAACCUCAGACUCAAUAUAUUGAAAAGUGUCUGCUAAGAAAACCUUGAAACUGCUAAUGUUGCAGUGCGUCAUCAAGAAAGAGAACAACUUCAAACAGGCUGGAGACAGGUACAGAUCAUGGGCACCAGACAGGCAAGACCGGUUUGUUAAGAGAUGGGUUGAGAUUCUGUCGGAGCCACGUCUCACCCACGAGAUCCGCGGCAUCUGGAUCUCUUACUGGUCUCAGGUGAGAACAAAAAACCACUCAGUGAAAUCUCUGCUUCCUUUUUCACCAAAUAUUCAGCAAACUAAACAUUAUAAUCUCUCUUAUCUUUCAGGCUGAUCGAUCUCUGGGACAGAAACUUGCAAGCCGUCUGAACGUGAGGCCAAGCAUCUAGAGACCAAUCUCCAGAUAAGUUGAGUCUAAUGCGAGGUACACAAUCUCAUCGAUCCAUCAUCGCUUGGUCGUUAAAUCCGUCAAAAGAUAUUCCACCUGUGUUGUUGUUUCAUGUCAAUAUAAUAAUAAUGCAUAUGCUUGUAAUCCCAUAGACUCUUGUUUCCUUCGGUUUUAGUCGCACAGUCUGUGUCUUUGUAAUCUCUUUUACAAUAAAUCAAUGUUUCUUAUGGUGGUCGUAUACAUAUAUUUUUAAGAGAAAUUGCACUAGAUAAUUUAAAAAAAAAACAAAAUUAAAUAUCUAACCUCUAACCCCUCUAUUCACUCUCUUUCUCUUCCUAUCUCUCUCUACCUUCUUUCUAAAAAACUAAUUUUUCUUUUUUUUUGGUUAUUCACCUAAAUCACCACUCUCUCAUUUUUAAUUCAGCAUUAGAUUAAAAAAAAAAAAAAAACAGAGAAAAUAUUUGGUUAUGUAUAAUUUUAAGGAGAAUCCAGAAUUGGAUCCACAAUUGUCUAUUAAUGGUAUAGAAUCUGACGAAAUUAAAGACGAUAUAUCAUCCACACGUAAUUAGUUUGAUUAUCAUUUGGAUAAGGAUAAACAAAGAAAAAACACAUACGUUUUUUGCUUGUAUCGCGAUACAUAACGAGAUUUGUCUCAUUUUAUCGCGGCGGGAUUUUGGGAUUGAGCUAAAAUAAGAUAUUUUAGCUUUUGGCUCGCUAUAAAAAAAAUCGACAACAGUGCAGACGCACGCCGAUUUGCGUAGAGAGACUCAACUAAAAAAAUCACAAAGGAAAAUUUGGGAUCAAAAUUAGUCUUGCGGCAUCAUGGAUCCAUACAGGGUACAUCGAUCGAUUCUCUUUAGGCUCCUUUUUUUGUAAUCUGAAAUUUUGCCUUACUUGAUUUCGUAUCAAUUUGGUUUUUGAUUUGGUGUUGAAUACUACAAAGUAUACGAUCUCUCUCGGUUAAAAUGAUAUGCAAAAUUGGGGUGAUUGUUCGACCUAUUGAGGUUUUUGUGGGGUCUUUAACUCAAUUUCUUUAAUAUUUAGCAGAGAUCAGGUUUGGGAUUUACAUGCGUUGAAUAUUAGAAAAGAAAACUGGUACAUAUUUAGGAUUCUACAUGUUUUCUUCGUCUAUUGAUUGUUUAAUCAAACAAGUCUUAAGGCUCAUGUUUUAAGGUUUCUUUAUCACUGUGUUUGAUUGUGAAUAUCAUUGUACCUUAAAUAUCAGCUCGGAAAUGCUAACGUUUUCGUGAUUUGUAUCUUACUUUUUGUUUAGUUGAAUUUUAAGUUAAAUGGAUCAUAUACUUUGUGGCAUUGUUAUCUAUCUAGUUACAAGUAUCUCAUUUGUCAAAGACGUUUCUCCAUUUUAAGGGAAUUUGGUUAAAUUUUUUGAUCCAGUUGCAUUUUUUAUUCUUCUGAAUUUAUUUGUUGACUGCAGGUUCGUCCUUCAAGCGCUCAUGAUUCCCCUUUCUUCACUACAAACUCGGGUGCUCCUGUCUGGAACAACAACUCUUCUUUGACUGUCGGAACUCGAGGUGCGUCUCUCUUUCUUUAUCUCUCGAAUACAAAUUAUAGCAAAUAGGUUGAACCAGUGGUUGUCAGAGAUGUCCUUAAAGCUAGAGUAAUGGAAGCCAAAUAAUUUUUAUAAACGUUUAGAUAAGAAUGUCAUUAGUGUUUUUCUGGACUUGCGUGAAUCAGCUCUCUUCCUUCAUUUAUAUGCCAAAUCUAUUAAUUCUUCCAAUGUUUAUUCUGUUUGCUUUCUUGAAAAUUUAGAAAUGUGAAACGAUGAUAUUGUAUACUGUCAGGUCCAAUUCUUCUGGAGGACUAUCAUCUGCUUGAGAAACUCGCCAACUUUGACAGGGAGCGGAUUCCUGAGAGGGUAGUUCAUGCCAGGGGAGCCAGUGCUAAGGGUUUCUUUGAAGUCACUCAUGACAUUACACAACUUACUUCUGCUGAUUUUCUUCGAGGACCUGGUGCUCAGACUCCUGUUAUUGUUCGUUUCUCAACUGUCAUCCAUGAGCGUGGCAGUCCCGAGACUCUCAGAGAUCCUCGUGGUUUUGCUGUUAAGUUUUACACCAGAGAGGUUAGCUUUUGUCUUAUCCUUCCAUCGUCUCUCUGUUUUCUGUAAUCAAUAUCUAUGUGUUUGCUGUUGUUGGAAUGUUUUAUUUGCUCAUCUAUUUCGUUUUACCACCUAUUUGAUUAAUUGCUAAUCAUAUUGUACUCUUCUGAUUCUUAUUACCCUCUGUUUGCAAACUCAGGGGAACUUUGAUCUUGUUGGGAACAACUUCCCUGUAUUCUUCGUCCGUGAUGGAAUGAAAUUCCCUGACAUGGUCCAUGCAUUGAAACCGAAUCCCAAGUCCCACAUUCAGGAGAACUGGAGAAUACUGGACUUCUUCUCCCACCACCCAGAGAGUUUGCACAUGUUUUCGUUCCUCUUUGAUGAUCUCGGUAUCCCACAGGACUACAGGCACAUGGAAGGUGCUGGGGUCAACACUUACAUGCUAAUCAACAAAGCUGGAAAAGCUCACUAUGUGAAAUUCCACUGGAAGCCGACUUGUGGGAUCAAAUGCCUGUCGGAUGAGGAAGCUAUCAGAGUUGGAGGAUCCAAUCACAGCCAUGCUACUAAAGAUCUCUAUGACUCGAUCGCAGCCGGGAACUAUCCACAGUGGAAUCUCUUCGUUCAGGUGAUGGAUCCUGCCCACGAAGACAAAUUCGAUUUCGAUCCGCUUGAUGUCACAAAGAUCUGGCCUGAAGAUAUCUUGCCUCUACAACCUGUUGGCCGCUUGGUCUUGAACAAAAACAUCGACAACUUCUUUAACGAGUACGAACAGAUUGCUUUCUGUCCUGCUCUUGUGGUUCCAGGCAUCCACUAUUCAGAUGAUAAACUACUCCAGACCCGGAUCUUCUCCUACGCUGAUAGUCAGAGACACCGUCUUGGACCAAACUAUCUGCAACUACCUGUCAAUGCCCCUAAAUGUGCUCACCACAACAAUCACCAUGAUGGUUUUAUGAACUUCAUGCACAGGGAUGAGGAGGUAAUAAUCUCUCUCGGCUCUGGAAACUCUCAGAUACUUAAAUUCACCACCAUUUUCACAUUUAUAUGAAGUAAAUUUGUUACUUUCCAAUUCCAG
RNAcentral lists this long non-coding RNA (61451 nucleotides) under Arabidopsis lyrata. RNAcentral's name for it is "long non-coding RNA (ALYR_LNC003044)". The record is from RNAcentral. Lineage: Eukaryota; Viridiplantae; Streptophyta; Magnoliopsida; Brassicales; Brassicaceae.